Molecule: long non-coding RNA, 53360 nt
Filed under: Lactuca sativa (garden lettuce)
Lineage: Eukaryota; Viridiplantae; Streptophyta; Magnoliopsida; Asterales; Asteraceae
Description: long non-coding RNA (LSAT_LNC006386)
Source: RNAcentral
GUGGUGGAGGAAGUGAAGAAUGAUUUCUAAGACAUCAUCUUCAUUAGGAAAGCUUGUUCCAAGAGAUUUGGGAAGAUCAUAAUUGUUUGAACCAGACAUCUUUUGGGAGAUAUUCAAGAUAGUUGAUUUAAAGUCCUUAAUAUAACACCCAAUAUGAAAUAUUAAGGCUAGGACACAACACAAUAUCAUAUAACUUGGAAGAGGGAUGUCGUAAUCCAAGCUAUAGAAUAAUUGAAGGUAGGCGAAUGACGAUUCAUGAAUUUCCACCAUGAAAAACUAAAUAAUUUAUUAGGUUUUAAUUGGAUUUGAAACUCCUAGAUCAUUUGAGAUUCAUUGAACUUUUCAAUGACAUGUUUCAAUCUCGAUUGUACCCUCUCAAGUUUUGUGACUGGGAUGCCGAGGAUCACAAAACAUGGUGUGAAUAACCAUGCAAAUAUACUUGGUACCCUUAAUAUUUACCACACAAUAGAUGUGCCGGUUAACCACACGCGCUCCACCGAUACCAUGAUAAACAUUAAGUUACCCUUUGCAUACCUUGUUAAAUCCAAGUUAGUGUGUCGGUUAACCACACACAAUCCACUAAUGACUUAAGCUAAGUGCAAAGUGUAAUUUCAUGGGUUAGCACCAACUUCACAUUUUCCUAAAGUAACUAAUAUUGGGGAUUAUAAAAGGUUUAGUUAAUUUAUCAUUAGACUUAUAAUGUGUAACGCCCGUAGAUCCGAGCUAGUCAAUUUAGAGAUAAUAGGGGUCGAAAAUGAUUUUUCAACAAAAGAUUAUUUAGAAUAAGUAAUCUUAACCAAGUUGUAGAAUAUGUCACAAGGUUUUCUUACAUAUAAAGAACGCCGAAAUCCGAGUUAUAACGAAGAAGUUAUGACCCGUCGAAGUUUCGCGACGGAACCGAAACGAUACCGGGAAGCAUAAAUAGUAAAAUUUCGAUAGAGUGAGUUUUAGACUUAGCGACCUAAACGAAAGUCGUAGAAUACAUUAAACCGAGAGCAUCCAUAAAAAGAACGCCCAAAUCUGACUUCGUAUGAGAAAGUUAUGAUUUUUCGAAGAUUUAGCUUAGCAGUGUACAUCCCGAAAUUCGAAUAUUAGAUCGAGCGGUUUUUAGCCGACACAACCUAAACGAGAAUCGAAUAUCUCGUUAUUUUUAGCGUAAUGAUAAAAAGACAGACGAAAACAGACGUCGAAUGAAGAAGUUAUGAGAUUUUAACGGACCAAUCCUAUCCCGGCCUGUUAAAUAGUAUAACUUUUAAAAUUAAUUUAAAUUAGCUGACAGAGUCUAAAAGAAAGUUGUAGAUUACGUUCCUGCCUACGCGUGGAUACAAAGCACGUUGAAAACGAAGCUCGUAUGUGAAAGUUACGAAUUUUUAAAGUCGAGUGUGCAAAUAGCGAAAUCUGAUGCGAAAUUGAUGACGUGGCUCGAACAGGGCCGUCGCUUGUUGAGCACAGUGCUCGCUUCAGAUCUUGACACGUCGCAUCUCGGACGCCCAACGCUCGCAUCGAACGCCCCGCUUACCGUGUGCGCCUCGCGUACAAACCUCGCAUGCCCAACGUUCUACCCUUCUGUGGACCAGAGCAAGCCACGUCGCCCCACCGAAGCCGCACCACGUGUUGUACGAACAAAGCUCUACGCCCGCGUAGGUCCGAGGUACGCCCAGCGUACCGAGGCCUCGCAGGCUAUAAAAAGGAAGUGAGGUCAGCCGGCUUCUUCACUCAUUUCUCCACUCUUUCUCUCACUACUUUCUCUCUCUAGCUCCCCUAAACCCUCCUAAACCCUAGGUAAACCCCUUAGCUCCCGAAGGAAGCCCCGAGGCUCCCGGAAUCCUGAGAUAAAGAGUCUUUUGGUUCGGAAACGCUGCUCCAAGCGAAGCCGGUUUUCUUUAAAACCUGCUGUAAGUGAGCUACGCCUACGUAAUUUUUAAUAUAACUUUGAAAUAAUUAUAGUAAUAUUAUUAGGCCCUUAAAAUAAUUAUUCGGGCUAUUAUUAUGAGUUAUAUAGAGUUUUGUUUAACGCUUAUAUAAUAAUAAUAAUAAUAGCUAGACUAUUAAUUAGUCGCGGUUAACGUUAAACUAAACCCUAGUGAUAUUGAUACUAGGUUUUAUCGAGGGAUAAUUGUUUUGAGAUAACGAAGCGCUGUUCGAAGGCAAAAUCACCACCUUUUUCAGGUGAGUGCAUAGUCCCUUUCAUGAACAUGAUUUUAAUAAAAGUAUUGAUUGAAUGUAUUAAAUAUAUGUUUAUGUGCAAAUUAUUUGAUGUUGUCUGUAUUACGUGUUAAAGAACAUAUCUAGUUAUUUAUAAUGAUUUAGGGUAAUGAGUAAACCUAAAAUUUGUUAUGAGGGUCAUUGGGCAGUAUCUCCUUAUAAGUACGAGUGAGAUAUAUACGGGGAAUAGAACCCUUAAACAUGUCAUUGAUCCAGAAGCACGGAUUAGACAUAGUCAUUCGUCCCUAGUCCGAGAGUAUGGAUUGGACUCAGUCAAUUGUCGUUAAUCCGAGAGUAUGGAUUAAGACAUAGUCAAUUGUCCUUAAUCCGGGAGUAUGGAUUAAGACAUAGUCAGCUGUCCUUAGUCCGAGAGUAUGGACAGGACAUAGUCAUCUGUCAUUAAUCGGGGAGUAUGGCUUUAGACACAGACCAAUUGUCCCUCAUUCGAGAGUAUGGAAUAGGUACAGUCAAGGACUCGAGAGCAUGGAUUAGAUCCGAAGUAAGAGGUAAAAUUUAAGGUCUGUGAGUAUGGAUAGUCUCAUUGUGAGGACUGACGGGGUGGGGUAAGAGUUGAUUAUAUAUAUAUGGGGAAAUCGUAUAUUGUGUGAGUUUAUAUAUAUAUGUUAUAACAUUGUGGGAUUGAAAUCCCUAUGUACUCACCAGGUUUCCAAACCUGACCCACUCAGCUUAUUUAUAUAUCUCAGGUGUUGAUAUGAAGUUACAUUACACUGAGAGAUUAAGGAGAUAUAAAUCACUAGAGAUAAUGAAUGUAAGUUCUGUUUAUGCUUACGUUUCUGUAUUGACGAUGACAUUCCAAAUGUUUUAAAAUGAAUAAAAACACAUUUCUUCGGAAAUGCCUUGAUAAUGUAAUUAUCAUGUUUUUCUGGGGACAAAUUUCGCAACGUUUAUCUUAAAAGAGAUACUCUGAUUUUUUAUAAAGCAUAAAAAAAUCGGUCUUUUCUGGCCGUGAAAAUGGGGAUGUCACAGUUGGUAUCAGAGCAUUAGUUUAAGUGAACUAGGAAUAUGUAUUUAUUUCUAGACUUAAAUUUAGAAUGCUAAGUGAUGAUUGUGAGGUGUGAGCACUAGCUUAUUUUAGGAAUUGUGCCUAAAAUGCUUUUAUGUGCUAAAUGGUUGUAUCUGAUAUGUUGUUAUUUGUUCGGAUCUAUGGUCUAUUGCCGAACGAAUCUGGAAACCUUAUGUGUUUAGGAUUCUAAGCGUUUAACUUCGAUAUUAGAACUAGCACAUAAACAUUUUGGAGUGAUAAGGAUGAUUUAAACAUCAAUCCUAAAUAAAGAUCUAGAUUCACCUUAUUCGGUGCAUAGAUCAGGACGGCAAGGACCCGUAGCGGAAACGUGAAUGCAAAUGGGAACCGAGAUCAGCCCCCAGUGAUACAGCAAAUACCAGUCGUAGUAGAAGUUGCACCAGAGCCAAUCACCAUGGCUGGAGUACAAGCCAUGAUGCGGGCUAUGUUAGCUGAACAAAGGGAAGAAAUGAGGCAUAUGUUGCAUGAAAAUAGGGACGAACCUACAAUGCCAGUUGAACAGCCCGAAUUGAACGAUGGGCAGUCAGAAGGUGGGAACUACAAUGGGACCGUUGGUCAAGCCAACCCACCAAUAGUUCAACAAAACAACCAGGAUGACGAAGUCGAGAGGAAUGGAUGCAAGUACAAUGAUUUUUUUGACUUGCAAGCCAUCGACUUUCACUGGAAAGGAAGAUCCGAUCGGUGUCAUGGAUUGGAUCUCGGAGAUGGAGUUAGCUUUCAUGACGUGUGGUUGCAGAGGCAAACUACAAACCACGUUUGCGGUACACCAGUUCAGAGGAGGCGUGGUUCGUUGGUGGAACACUCUGGGGAAAACUCUAAGCCCCAAUGAGCCCCUGUAACUGACGUGGGCAAAGUUUUUGGUGUAGUUCAAACAUAAGUACUGCUCAACCCAAAAUCUGCUCGAGCUAGAAAACCAAUUCCUUACCUUGAAGAAAGGAAGCAUGUCUAUUGAUGAAUACACAAACAACUUCACGGACAAGAUGGAGUUUGCUUUGCGCCUUGUCCCGGAAGAGCUGACAAAAAUCGACAAGUACGCAAAGGGACUUCCAUGGGAGUAUGCGGUGCCAGUACAUCAGACACCUACUUUGGAGGCAGCUAUCUGGGCUACCAAGUCUGUUGAAGAAAUGAUCAAGGGAAGAGCCGCCGGCAAGAUGAAGGUUGGCGAGAAGAGAAAGUUUGAAGGAUCCUCAAGGUCCGACAAGAAGAGAAAAUUCUCGAAGUCUGGUUCAAAGAAGUUCGAAGAAGGAAUGCAAUGGUGUGACAAUUACAAAAUGAAGCACAUUGGGAAAUGCUCUAAAGAGUUUACCUGCUUUAAAUGCGGGAAAACUGGUCAUUACGCCAACGAAUGCACAACUAAGAGAGAAGUAUGCUUUAAGUGUGGUGAAGAGGGACACUUCAAGAAAGACUGCCCAAGGAGAGAAGAAGCAGCAAAACCAAAUGUGCCGCCAAAACCGAAGGCAAGAGCAUUCCAUAUAAUCCUAAACGAAGCAGCAGACGAUGCAAGGAAUCAGGAGUGAGGAUGGAUAUAUGAAGAUUAAGUUACGAAGAAGCCAUGUAGAUAGUCUGUUAUGGUGUAGCCUAUUAGAGGCAUAGUCUAGGGUGAACUUGAACACCUAUGUAAUCGUUUCAAGGAAUAAUAUAAAAAACUUUCGUUUUGCUAUCCAAUGUGUUAAGUUGUUGUGUGAUUUUAUUUUAUGGUGACUUGGAAAACUGCGAGACAAUACUUGGGACGAGUAUGAGUAGGUGUGAAUGGUAGUAGAGGCCUAUACUACCAGAAGCACAGGACUCACACUUGGAUCAGGGAAGGUCACAAGGUUACCAAGAAGCUAGUAAUUGAUACCGUUUUAUUCAAGAAUGUCGUUACCAUUGUUUCGGUAAUGACUAAGAAGAUGAUUGUUAUUCCGACCCUAGCGGUCAUAUCAAAUUGAAUCCGACUACGAUAAUUAUGUUAAAUAGUUCAGAGAAGCAAGUCCGAUGUAGCAUCCGACUUAAGUUAAAAUCUUGAAGUGAAAGAAAAUCAAAGCGAUCAGUAGAGGUAUCGCGAUAGUUGCUUGUAGCUAGAAAUGCUACCUUUUAAGAUGUGAUUAGAACAUGAAGGAAGGUAUAGCUUGUUCUGGAAGACUCUAAAAGACCUAAGUCUAAGCAUUGCAACAUACGAUGAUAGGUCAUUAAAAUAUGACACAUCAAUCCAUUGUAGUCAUAAAAGAACUUAUCUUAAGUUUGUAUCCAGUGAUGAUCGAGAUUGUGACUUGAAGGUCAUAAUUUGGAGUCUAACGUGAGAUAGGGAGCAAGUGCAAGAUCGAGCACCACCUACAGUCAAGAAGUCUUAGAGUUAGAUACUCGUUCAAAGAAACAUGAAAGUUACGGUUAUUACUUAGUAUGAAUAGAUAGCGUAUGGAGUCAUCACGUGAGCCAUGUUUCAUUGAUGAUUCUGGAACAUAAUUAUCCUAAGGGGGAGAUAAUUGUAACACCCGUAGAUCCGAGCUAGUCAAUUUAGAGAUAAUAGGGGUUGAAAAUGAUUUUUCGACAAAAGAUUAUUUAGAAUAAAUAAUCUUAACUAAGUUGUAGAAUAUGUCACAAGGUUUUCUUACAUAUAAAGAACGCCAAAAUCCGAGUUAUAACGAAGAAGUUAUGACCCGUCGAAGUUUCGCGAUGGAACCGACACGAUACCGGGAAGCAUAAAUAGUAACAUUUCGAUAGAGUGAGUUUUAGACUUAGCGACCUAAACGAAAGUCGUAGAAUACGUUAAACAGAGAGCAUCCAUAAAAAGAACGCCCAAAUCUGACUUCGUAUGAGAAAGUUAUGAUUUUUCGAAGAUUCAGCUUAGUAGUGUACAUCCCGAAAUUCGAAUAUUAGAUCGAGCGGUUUUUAGCUGACACAACCUAAACGAGAAUCAAAUAUCUCGUUAUUUGUAGCGUAACGAUAAAAAGACAGACGAAAACAGACGUCGGAUGAAGAAGUUAUGAGAUUUUAACGGACCAAUCCUAUCCCGGCCUGUUAAAUAAUAUAACUUUUAAAAUUAAUUUAAAAUUAGCUGACGGAGUCUAAAAGAAAGUUGUAGAUUACGUUCCCGCCUACGCGUGGAUAUAAAGAAUGUCGAAAACGAAGCUCGUAUGUGAAAGUUACGAAUUUUUAAAGUCGAGUGUGCAAAUUGCGAAAUCUGAUGCGAAAUUGAUGACGUGGCUUGAUCAGGGCCGUCGCUUGCUGACCACGGUGCUCGCUUCAGAUCUUGACACGUCGCAUCUCGGACGCCCAGCGCUCGCAUCGGACGCCCUGCGUACCGUGUGCGCCUCGCGUAUAAACCUCGCACGCCCAACGUUCUACCCUUCUGCGGACCAGAGCAAGCCACGUCGCCCCACCGAAGCCGCAACACGUGUUGUACGAACAAAGCUCUACGCCCGCGUAGGUCCGAGGUACACCCAGCGUACCGAGGCCUCGCAGGCUAUAAAAAGGAAGUGAGGUCAGCCGGCUUCUUCACUCAUUUCUCCACUCUUUCUCUCACUACUUUCUCUCUCUAGCUCCCCUAAACCCUCCUAAACCCUAGGUAAACCCCUUAGCUCCCGAAGGAAGCCCCGAGGCUCCCGGAAUCCCGAGAUAAAGAGUCUUUCGGUUCGGAAACGCUGCUCCAAGCGAAGCCCGGUUUUCUUUAAAACCUGUUGUAAGUGAGCUACGCCUACGUAAUUUUUAAUAUAACUUUGAAAUAAUUAUAGUAAUGUUAUUAGGUCCUUAAAAUAAUUAUUUGGGCUAAUAUUAUGAGUUAUAUAGAGUUUUGUUUAACGCUUAUAUAAUAAUACUAAUAAUAAUAAUAGCUAGACUAUUAAUUAGUUGCGGUUAACGUUAGACUAAACCCUAGUGAUAUUGAUACUAGGUUUUAUCGAGGGAUAAUUGUUUUGAGAUAACGAAGCGCUGUUCGAAGGCAGAAUCACCACCUUUUUCAGGUGAGUGCAUAGUCCCUUUCAUGAACAUGAUUUUAAUAAAAGUAUUGAUUGAAUGUAUUAAAUAUAUGUUUAUGUGCAAAUUAUUUGAUGUUGUCUGUAUUACGUGUUAAAGAACAUAUCUAGUUAUUUAUAAUGAUUUAGGGUAAUGAGUAAACCUAAAAUUUGUUAUGAGGAUCAUUGGGCAGUAUCUCCUAAUGAGUACGAGUGAGAUAUAUAUGGGGAAUAGAACCCUUAAACAUGUCAUUGAUCCAGAAGCACGGAUUAGACAUAGUCAUUCGUCCCUAGUCCGAGAGUAUGGAUUGGACUCAGUCAACCGUCAUUAAUCCGGGAGUAUGGAUUAAGACAUAGUCAAGUGUCCUUAAUCCGGGAGUAUGGAUUAAGACAUAGUCAAGUGUCCUUAAUCCGGGAGUAUGGAUUAAGACAUAGUCAGCUGUCCUUAGUCCGAGAGUAUGGACAGGACAUAGUCAUCUGUCAUUAAUCGGGGAGUAUGGCUUUAGACACAGACCAAUUGUCCCUCAUUCGAGAGUAUGGAAUAGGUACAGUCAAGGACUCGAGAGCAUGGAUUAGAUCCGAAGUAAGAGGUAAAAUUUAAGGUCUGUGAGUAUGGAUAAUCUUGUUGUGAGGACUGACGGGUUGGGGUAAGAGUUGAUUAUAUAAAUGGGGAAAUCGUAUAUUGUAUGAGUUUAUANNNNNNNUAUAUAUAUGUUAUAACAUUGUGGGAUUGAAAUCCCUAUGUACUCACCAGGUUUCCCAACCAGACCCACUCAGCUUAUUUAUAUCUCAGGUGUUGAUAUGAAGUUACAUUACACUGAGAGAUUAAGGAGAUAUAACUCACUAGAGAUAAUGAAUGUAAGUUUUGUUUAUGCUUAUGUUUCUGUAUUGACGAUGACAUCCCAAAUGUUUUAAAAUGAAUAAAAAUACAUUUCUUCGGAAAUGCCUUGAUAAUGUAAUUAUCAUGUUUUUUUUGGGAACAAAUUCCGCAACGUUUUUCUUAAAAGAGAUACUCUGAUUUUUUAUAAAGGAUAAACAAAAUCGGUCUUUUCUGGCCGUUAAAAUGGGGAUGUCGCAUAAUGAGGGAGAACUAUAGUCCUUGUCCUACCCGUUCGGCUAACGACCCUCCACCAGUCAAGGAAGCGGUGGGUGAGAGUGGACACCCAUUAAACUGCCAUUUUGUAGGCAGUAACCUUAUACCCCCUGAUAAACCGGCUUCGUGAAUGAGGCCUACUAAAGGUAAGACUGACUUUGUUCUUAUACAUAUAUAUUAUUAACUUAUAAUACUAUAAAGUAUAAGGGUUUCAUUUUAACUUUUAAAAUUCUAAGGGUAUAACUUGGAAUUAAAGUAUUCAUAAGGGGAAACUUUACAAAUUCCAAAACUUGAGGGCAAGUUUUGAACAAUUCAAAAACUUUUCAAUUCCAUAACUUAUGUGUUUAAAGUAGUUUUAAUGUAAAACUUUUCAAGUUCCAUAACUUGAGGACAAGUUAUGGAAGACUUUAAAACAUUUAAAAAUGAGACUCUCCAUUUUUCAUAACUUAUGGAAAUCUUAUGAGUUUUUAAGAAUCAUAAAUGUGACUUUUCAUAUAGGUUGAGGACAAGUUACAAAAACACAUUUUAUGAAUAAUUUUUAGAUCAAUUUGGAUUGAAAACUCAUUAUCACAUAAUUUUUCUAUUAAUCUAAGCAAACUCAUAUGAACAAGAUAAUUCAAAUCAAACAAUUUUCAUGUAAUUAGCCUAAUCAUUAAACUAAUACAAAACAUGAAUGUAUUGACAAUUAUCUUUUGAAUUGGAUUAGAAUGAACAUUAACACAUCAAAAAACAGGUUUUAUAAGUCCAAAACAGUUUAAAGUAAUGAUUCUAGACCAAUUCCAGCCUUAAAACUCGAAGAUAUGCUGUCUGGGGGUCCAACUCGUCGAGUGCAUGAACCAACUCGACGAGUUGGAUGAUUUUACACAUGGACUCGUCAAGUCCAUCAGUGGACUCGGCGAGUCCCCAGCCCAGAACAACAAAAACUUUGAUUUUCAGCAAUUAUCAGCAAGUAUAAUUGAAAACAAGCCUAGGCUCUGAUACCACUGAAGGAUUUUGAGCAUUCUAACACUCCUAAGGUGUACAUGAAACCCUAAAUACCUUGGAUCUAUGUUUUCUCUUUAUACAUGCAAAUAUAAAUUUUCCAAGGUGUUGUUCUAACUAGCAUACUAUGAAGUACAUAUAAUAUAAAUUCUAGUAUAAUUACAUACCUCUUUGUUGUAGCUUGAUUCAAUGGAGCUUAAGAGCCUAGUGUCUCAAAUGUGACACCUCAAAUGGCUCAUGUGUACACACACUAGUGCCAAUUUCUUGAGCCAUGGGUUCCUUAUAUAUUGUGGCUAUUAGGGUUACACCAUGUAACUCAUGUCUUUCCAUAUUCUUCAUGAUCCAUGGGUUAAGACCUCCAUUGAGUAUCCAUGGGUUUAGCCCAACAUAAAGAACUAUGGAUCAUAAGCUUAUAUAUAUACGAAUGAAUGAUUUACACAACCAAUCGCCAUAUAUUUAAAUAGUCUCCUUUUGAUCACAAGGUUAAUUCCAAAUUAAUUCUUGAUUAAUACUAAUUAAAUAAUAUGAUUUCAUAUUAAUAUAUUAGAACAUAUAAUAUAUUAACAAAUCAUAAAUAUCCUUUUCUCACAAAAGUCUAUCCAAAUUAUUCUGAUGCCAUGCAACCCAAAUGGACCAUGUCAAUCGGGUCAAGUACAUACCAAUUAUAGUUAUGGACUUAGACACUAAUCCAACAACAACAUCUUCUGGAACAUUCUUCCAUGACACACAACCCAUGAACAUCAGCACCACACAUGAUAGAGCACCUUGAGACAUAGUGGAGCAUCAUGAUGUAUAAGUGGCGUAUCAUGAACAUUAAUGGCCUAACAUCCGUCAUGGUGGCACAACAUGGUGUAACCCUUAAUCAAUACCAACUUCUGAGCAUCCUUGAACGAUCUUGAGCACCAUAGAGGACUUCAUAGUAUAAUUGGCUCAUUAAGUACCAAGAUGGUCCAAAUUGCACCAUGAUGGCACAACAAGUGUAUAGAUGGCACAAUAGGCUUCAAGUGUGGCACAAGAACAUCAAGAUUGGAUCAAAAACACCACCUUGGUGCAACAGGAACAUACAUGGAACAACAAGGCCAUGCAUGGCGCAAGAGCAUACUCCAUGGCUCAACAGGAGUACCCCAUGGCACAAGACGGAUCCCUCAUGGAACAAGAGGGAGCAUAAUGGCGCAAAAAGGUAUGCCCUUUAUACAACAACAUCCCUAUUGGACCAUCCCUUUAACAUAUGGAGCAACAAGGUUUCCUUGUUGCUCCAUGUCAUACCCAAGUGCUCUAAACGUCUUCUAAAUGAUCCAAUCCCCCUUCUGUAUGAUCCAUUCCUUUGGAAUUUGAUUCAUUCUUUUUUCAGACGAAGCAUUCAUUUCUUAGAUGAUUUGUUCCUUUGUCACAUGCUCCAUGAACCCCAAGUGCUCCAUUGAGUUACAAGUGCUCCAAAUGCUCCAUGAACAUGAUCCAAAUACUCGAGUGACAUUUAGCAUGUCCUAAAUAUUUUCACCCAAAUUAAUAUUCAAGGCUAUCAUCCUAAAUAUAAUUCUAAAUAAUAAGAGGGAUGUCGUAAUCUGAUUAUGAAUUUAUUUAGGUAGGCAUAAUUCCAAUUUCAAUUUAAUAUGAAACUCCUUUAUCUUUUAAGAUUCAUUGAAUCUUAUCAAUGACAUGUUUAAUCGAAAAUUAUACUCUUCCAUUUUUGACUAGGAUACCGAGGAUCACAAACAAGAGGUGAGUAACCAUGCAUACACGCAUGACAUAUUCGAAAUCAUUUAUAAUUUCAUAUUGGCAUGUUGGUAAACCACACACCCUCCAUCAACAAUCAUAAAAUUGAUUAUGUGCCAUCGUUUCAACUUUGUAGUCCCAUAUUAGUGUGCUAGUUAACCACAUACGCUCCAUUAACGACUUAGAAAAGAAAUGAUAUGUGUUUCCACGGAUUAGCAUACAUUUCACAUUUUUUUAAAGUAACUAGAGUGGGUUUUUUGAAGAAUGUUCUAGUACUUUAUGAAUUAUACUUUUAAACUUUUUAUGUCCUAUCAAACCCAUUCGGCUAACGACACUCCACCACAUAAAGGAGCAAUGGAUGAAAAGGAAAUCCAUUUAACGAUCAUUUUAUAGGCCGCUUCCUUAUACCCCUCUUAUGGAAUGGCUUCGUGAAUGAGGCCUACUAUUGAUUCGAAUGAUUGAUCUUUAUCUUUUAAUUAAACUAUUACUUAAAUCAAUGUAAUCAUUCAAUAAAGUAUGGAAUUAAUAUUUAUUAGUUGAUUAUCUUUAAUUAAAUUAAAUAUUAAAAUCCACGAGGCUAAUCAUGCAAUUAUCUUAUAAUUAGAUUAUGUUUCCAUGUUUAUCUCCUAAAAUCUCAAUUAGGUUUAUUUAAUCAUACAAGGAAAAUAAAAAUCGAAUUUUAACAGGACGAAAACCAUAUAAUUACUAAUUAACAAUCAACUAAUCAGAUAAAGCAUCAAAACAAGAAAAAAACAAAAAAGGAAAGACGUGGCAUGCCGUUUUUUGUUUUGUUUUCAGUUCAUCUCAUGCACACUCAAUUUAAGACAAUCAAGCUUUGAUACUACUGAUGGUUUUAUAGGUUACAAAAAUCAUGUACAUGCAGAAGAAUAAAACUUAACAAUUAAGGGUACAUGUAACCUACUAGCAUCUAUGUCUUCACAUUAAAGGCAACAUAUCAUGAACUAUAGAUACUAGAAGAACCCUACUAGAAUCGAAAUUCAUAGUUUUAGGGUUUCAUACCUUUUGAAUUGUUAUUUCAAACAAUUCAUUGAUUCCUUCUUUGCAGAUCUUUAGAAACCACGCACCAAGAGGAUGAUGCCUCCAAUGGCCUACACCCAAAGAUAGAAACUAUAACGCAAGAGAGGAGAGAGGAGAAGGGAUGUGAAUUUUUGACUAGAGUAUCUCUUAGAAUAGUAGUCUAUGACCAUUUAUAUAACUGCUAGUAAAACCCAAAAAUGCUAAAUUUGAACAUAAAAUAAUAUUAUUUCAAAUUCUUCUAAUUAUCUACUUUCCUUUUAUUAAUUAGAGCAUUCUAGAUUGCCCUCCAAGGUAUCCAAAAUCGUCUAAGCUUCUAGAAUCUCUCUUUUGCUCAACUAUUAAGAAAUUACCAAGUAGCCCUUGCACUUCGAAUUAAUUCCUAUUGAUCCCAAAUUAAUUCUAACCAAUUAUUAAUUUAUUUAUUAAUCAUAUAAUAAAAAAAUAAAUUAUUUCCUAUCUCCAUAAUUGUUAUUCUAAUCAGUUUCUAGUUAUGAUGGCAUUCCAAAAAGGACUUUGCUUUUAUUACAUGUUUAUACCAAAUUAGUUAUGAGCUUAAACACCUUAAUCCAACAACUUUAAUAUGCUGUUUGAUAAACUAUGCAUGAUUACACAGUGAAGCAUAAUGAUGAUAUAAUAUGCUUUAAUAUGGUGUUUGAUAAAUUACGCAUGAUUACAUAAUGAAGAAUAGUGAUGCAAUAUGCUUUAAUAUAGCGUUUUAUAAAUUAUGCAUGAUCACAUAGUGAAGAAUAGUGGUGAAUGAUGUAUGUCCCUUGAGUUUGAAUUAAUAACGUAUUAAUAUUAUAUGGGGAAUAAAAUUAGAGGGUCGAGGGUAGUGACCUAAAACAUAGGUGCGUAUCCUAUCUACAUUUAGUGAUAUCCUAAUAGGAUGAAAGAGGACCUAUAAGAAAAGAGCUUAACCCAAAGCAUUGUCAAGUAGUUUUCUAGAUGACCAUUUUGAAACAUUUUAGGGUUUCCAAGGCAUUUAAAGGUAAGAAUUGAUGUUUAAGGGUAUUUUCUUAGCGUCCAUCCCUAGCCUCCCUUUCAACACUUUGAUCCUCCCCUCUCCCAUUUCAUCCAAUAUUAGAUUUCAUGGUGGAUUUUGGAAGGAAGUUCUUUCAAGAUGGAGUUGUGGAGACUUUCUUAAGAAGAUCUCAGCUUCCAACUAUCUUAUGGAAUUUGGGUAUGAUUCAAGUUUCUGCAUAUAUGCUUAUAAGUUGUUAGAUCCAGAUUCUAAGCUUGUUUUAGGUCCAUUAAACGACGAUUGUGUUGUGGGAUGUGAAAAUGCUUGUAACUUUAUCAUUCUAACUUGUCACAAGAGUAUUUUAGUCUAUGAAUAUGAUCUUUCAUGAUCUUUUGGGCACCAUGAUUGAAGUUAGGAUCUUAUUUUAGUCAUUUUGACCUAACUUGCGUUUAAGACAUGCAUUGGACAUGCAUGUCUAAAAAGCAAUGAUUUUUAUGGUCAUUUGGAAUGGAUAAAGCCUUCAAGAAAGUUGGAGUUGAUUACUUAAUGGAUUAAGGACUCAAAUCAUUGAAAUGUUGAUUCAGACUGUAGUAAGGACGUGACACUAAGGGCGUCACGACGUAACCAUGAUAGAACCCGUAUUUGUUGUGCCUUGUAUACUCACGAUGUGAUAGAGGAAUUUUUAUGUCAUGAGGUUUGUCUAAUGGAUUGUCCAUGAGCAAGUUAGAUGUGUUGGAGCGAGUCGAGCUGGAAUUGGGUUGAGUGUGCCCUCACGAAGUGACCAAGGGCUGGUCACGAAGUGAGGCAUGAUGGUUGAAAUUGUUGGCUGGUGACUUUGACUUUUGGCAUGUGUUGUGUGACAACCCGAUAUUUCAAGUCAAUGUAAUCACCUAAGUCAAGUAUUGUAAUCUAUUUUGAAUUAAUAAAUAAAUAAAAAUAACAUCAGAAAUGAAAUGUUCAGAAGUCUCAAAUGGGAUACAUAAAGUAAUAGAUAUCAUAACAAGGUUUUCAGAAAUGUAAAGAAGACAAAAAUCCGAGUUUUAACGAAGAAGUUAUGACCAAUCGAAAAUCCGCAGCAAAACCGAUAAAACACUAUUAAGCGUAAAACGCAAAUUUUCAUUAAAAUACUUUUUAGCCUUAGGUAUCUAAAUGAAUGUUGUAGAUAUCAUUAAACCGUGAAUGUACAUAAAAUAGAACGUCCAAAUCUGACUUCGUGUGAGGAAGUUAUGAUUUUUUCUAAGUUUCAGAGUAGCGGUAGACAGCUAAAAACUCGAAAUAGAGAUCGAGCGAUAUUUAGCAGACACAACCCAAAUGAGAAUUGAAGAUCUCGAAAAUAGUAGUACAACGGUAAAAAGACAGACGAAAACGGACAUCGGAUGAAGAAGUUAUGAAUUUUUAACGGUCUUUUCCUCUCCCGGCCUAUUAAAAAUAUAUAAUUAAAAAUAAAUUCAAAAUUUGCCAACGAAGUCUAAAUGAAAUUUGUAUAUUAUAUUCUCACCUACGUGUGGAUAUAAAGAACGUCAAAAACAGAGCUCGUAAGCGAAAGUUACACAUUUUAGAAAAUUGGGGCACACAAACCUAGGGGAGUACGCUAUAGCGUACGAGCGUACGCCCAGCGUACUCAGUGCUCGGCCUCAGAUCGACCACGUCCCCCGCUACCCUCUAGCCUGUCCCAUCCGAAGUCCAGAUUCCAAAGAGUGCGUCAUGCAUGACGUACGCCUAGCAUACGCGAAUACGCCCAACGUACGAGGGCCAGUUCCACCCCUAUAUAAAGGGUGCGAGGCUUCCGACUUCUUUAGCUAAUUCACAAAAUUUUUCCCGUAUUUUCUCACUCUCGAGCCUCCUAAAACUAUCACGAUGUACCGGUUACGUAUUCAAGCUACGAAGAUGGUCUGAAGGUCCAAAAAUCCAGAAAAAUUUUCCAUUUUCCGGUCGAAGUGCUGCCCGAGAAAAGUCUCGUUUUCUUAAAUUCAUCCCACUUACCAGGUGAGUACAUACCCCUAUAUUUUCACGUUUUUACUGUAUUUUAGGGGGAUAAAUACAAGUGAAACGCAAGAGAAACUUAUGUUAAAACACAAAUCGUUACAUACAAUUUCAAAUGCUUUAUCUAUAUUUUGUGUAUAAAUGUUAAAUACGUAAAAUAACGUUAUUACAAAUGUUAUACUUUACAUGCAAAGUUGGUAGCACACUAAGGGUUAUCAUUGAAAUGAAGCACACCUUUGAAAAACUAUAAUAGGUAUAGUUUAUGAGAUAUUCAUGAUAUUUUACACUCUAUGAACACUAUAGAAAGGAAAUACUUACAUUUACAAGAAAAUGGACUUUUCAUACGUAUAUCUAUUUGAUACAAACUUUUGUGAGACAUUUAACCUCACAUACUUUCAAGUACGCAUUUCAAGUCCUGUGUUAUAAACCAUAAUCUCUUGUAAGGAGAGCGUGAUUCUUGUGUAUAGAUUUAUACGGGAUUGACAAUCCCGAACCUAAACUGUUAGCUACAGUUGGACCGACAGGUCUGGGUUGACAACAUCAUAUCAUUCCAACGCCUGAAGAACGUUGUGAUAGGCAUUCUGGAUGAAUAGUACGAUUAUAAAAAUCACAUGAAGUAUUAAAACAUUUGAUUUACGGGGCUAUCAAACACCUUAGUGUUUAUAUAUACAUAUAUAAAUCUACUUACACUAUUUUAGGUAUGGAAAAUACUUAUGCAUUCCGAUUUUUGGAACUUUUAAAAACUUCCAUUCAUUUAUAGAAAUAUUGGAUUUUCUAUAAACAAACUCGGUUACUUUAUACAAAAAGACAUAUAAUUCUUAUACAAAAAUUCUUAUGAACUCACCAACUUAAUUGUUGACACUUUUUCAAAACUACUUGUAUUUCUAAGGGAUUCAGUAAUAUAAGUAAACCACAGCUUUUGGGGAAGGAACGCUAAGGCAUCAAAUUUCAAACUUAUUAUAUCAUCAUAAUGUAAUUUCUUUUGAAACAUGUAUUACAAUCAACCAUGUAACUUUUUAAAUUAUAUUUAUGAUAGUUGUGUUUUCUUUCUUUACUAUUUACUCAACUGUUAUGAUAAUACAUAAAGUCAUCCACCCUCGAACGAUUCCGCAGUUCUGGUUUGGGGGUGUGACAUGUUGAAUUUUGGUCAAACUAAGGGUUUUGGACUAUAGAAUGAGAGGGGUACUCUUUAUUGAUGUUUGGUGCCAUGUAGGAUUAGUCUUUGCUGGUUGAGAGUUUUGGUGUUUAGCUGCUACUUGCGAGGUAAGUCCUUUCACUAUACUUGGAUGUGUGGUAGUGUGUGCAUGUUGACCAGUUGAGUCUUAUCUACUGAUUGCUGCUAUAUGUGAACUGAGUUGUUGAUAACUCCUAGACUGCUGAAAGUCCAUGGGAUUGCUGAUAGUCCCCAAGAUUGCUAAUAACCCAGGUGGUAUGUUGUUAAUCCAUAGGACGAGUCGUUUGCCCACUGGGAUUGUUGAUAGUCCCCAAGGUUGCUGAUAACCCAUAGUUGAUUGUUAUGUUGUGUCGUAUGAGAUAUUUUGGGGAACUUACUAAGAUUUGGGCAUACAAUUGUGGAUUAAAUAUUUUGAAGCUGCUUACUAUACGACGAAGGCAUGACUGUACAUACACAUCAACAACUUUAUGAUUCAACAUUUUGCAUUGUCUUCGUUAUAACUCUGAUUUUUGAAUAAUGGUUUAUGGAAAAAUGACUUAUCCUGAAUGUAACUUUAUUAAAAAUGGAUGUUAUAUUAUGUUAAAAACGAAAAAGUUAGCGUGGGUUUUUGGAACAUUACAAUUUGGUAUCAUUGCCCUGGUUUGAGGGAUUUGGAUGAACAUUGGUGGGAUUCCAAACUCAAACUAUGUAACUGAGAGUUUUACAGAUCAUUUUUGGAAAAUAUUCAUUUCAAUAGAAGAAAAGAUAAGUUACGAUGUGUACAGUCAGUCGGAGCUCCUAAAGUUAUUUCCCAAAAUAUGCAUACUGAAUUUAUAUGCUGUGAUUGACUUGCUAUUAUGUGUGUUAUAGUAUUAUGUGUAUUCUAUAAGACAGGCUAAGGAUCAACCCAUGGUUGCAUGCUAGAGUGCCUGCUAGGAGAGAUGCCUAUUUGUGUGUGCUAUGUGAGUUGUUAGUGAUGCAUGUGUAGGCCAAGGAUCCUCAUGAAUUAUGUGUUAGAAUUUCAUGAUCUUUAUAAUCCCUUUUACCUAAUGGUUUUUCUGCUCUAAUGUUGCUUGCUUUGUGUUAUGUGAAAGUUAUAUUAAUGUUGGUUAGCUAUUAAGUGAAUACGUUAAGUUACAUGCCACAAGAAUUAAAAAGUUUUAGAAUGUUUGAUUUAACCUAUUGUGUAGCUCUUGUUUGAUUCUAUCCGUUGUAGUGCAAGAUCAUUUAUUUGGAGGAUUGUUUAACCCUUGUUGCAUGUAAUUGUAUUCUUAAGAUAGUUAGUUGACAUUGGUAGAAGUUUCUUUCGCAACUGAUAGCAGGGUCAAGGUCAAUAUUCCUAGUGAUCUCAGGGGAGUGCUAGAGUGUGUUGAUGCAAGCACUUGUGAAUGAGGAAGUCUAAUAUGAGAAUCUAGGAAGUUUAUGAUGGAUUUCUAAUUAAGCUUUUAGGUAUGCUGAUACACUUGACAGUGGAAGAGUUUCUAGAAAAUCAUUCUAGUUCGUGGUCAUAUGUGAGAAGAAUCCUUGAGGGAGAGAGUCUAGGAUGAGCGGUAGUGUGUGUGCCUACGGUAGCACGUGUAACUGAGAUUGAUAGUGGUGUGGUGUAGUGACUUAGGGACAUUAACACGCUUCUUGGGACACAUAUGAAUAUGUGUGGAAGGUAGUAGGGACCCAUAUUGUUGAAAGAACAAGAUUUGUAUAGGAUUUAAGAAGUGUAAAAAAGGUUUCUAAGAAGCUAGUUGAGGGUAGAUAGUGUAGUAUAACACUAGUGUUAAUUGCAUUCAUCCCCGUCGAUGUCGUUCUGUCGGCUUUGAUUGUGUAAAAUAAGACCGGUAAUUGUUUGGGCCUGAGUUUACAUGACAUUUUGGAUAUGGUUUGUACAGACUUGUAAGGUUUAGCUAAUUCAGAGAAAUUGAUGACAUUGAUCGAAGUAGUGCCAGUCUGAGUUGCAGAACUCAAGAAGGAAGUUGUUGUGAUGAUCAACUCGAGGAUUGCAUCCUGAAGCUGAGUGGUUAGCCGAUGGAAAGGGAUGUUACUUGUUACAUCGGGGGUUUUGUUUUGCUACCUCUUGUGCUUAAGGGAAGAGAGAGUUGUUGUAGGUUAGUCGAUGGUUAAUAUAGGAUUUGGUGAUCUCCUCACCAGUUCUGCUGACGGAAGGUAAAUUCUGGCUUAAAGUAAAUCAUCUCUGUGUUAUAGCGAAAUGAUAUUUGAGACAUGGUUGUUGUUGUUUUUCGAAGGACAAGGUGAAGGUCGUGUCGUAGAUGGAAUACAUAACAUCGAUUCUGGGAGAUCGAGUGUAUUUAGAGAGACAUAAAAUUGAUCUUGUUCUUGCAAAAAUAGUUUUGUGGAGGUGUUGAGUUUUUUAGAGUUAUGUUUUGAGCAUCUAUGGGGGUAUUCUUAAAGUUUCAAUGGGAGGAUGAGAUUGUGGAUCAACUCUCCAAGUGUAAGGUUUCAUGUGCGUAAGUUUAGUUCCAUUGGGUGCUAAGUCUAUCCAAUGGUGUUCUUUCUAAUUUCGCUAAGUUUAAUGGGUGAUAAUGGGAGAAAGGUCUCUGAAGUCUCCAUAUGAGAUUUGAAUAUUUCUUGUUUAUAGUUUCAUCUUGUGUUGUGAUAUUCAUCCUGAAAGUCAGGUCGGGUAUGUUCAUGGUUAAGCCGGUCUCUCACACUUUAGGGUUGCAGACGUCAGUCGAUGAUGGUUUGAACCCUAAGUGCGGGAGAACUAGGUAUUCUGCUUGGAGAAUCAUUCGAUGGUCUGAUUUUUAUGGUUUCAUUUCAAUAGGUCAGAGUAAUCUGCAGCCUAGGGAUGUUAGAUAUUCGUUCAGGUUUUAUGGAUGCAUUAGGGAAAGAUGUGGGCAAUCAUCAAAGUAUUCGUGAUCUGGAAGUUUCUUGUUGCAUUCCUCAGCGGUCUGCUGGAGUCCUCCAUGGACAUGGAGAAUUGAGGUUUGGUCAGAUCUUGGGUACAAAGUAAGUUUCCGUUAGGUGUGUGUGUUGCCCUUGCAGCAACAAGCUAGUGGGUAUGGAAUUGUUGUGGUUAGUAGUUCCUUUGUGUUAACUCCAUAAACCUGGGUGAAGGAUCUUAAACCAUUCUAAUUGUGUAUCGGGUAUGGGAAGCUUGGUUAGCCCUUAAUAUCGGUUUGUUAUUUUUGGUUGAGUUGGGUAAUGGUUGAUUGGUCUCAGGGUUUGUUUAGGUUAUUCAAAGGUUUCAAGCGACAUUAGUUGAGGGUGCAUUUGAUGCAUCAACCCUUAGUCAAAUUCAGUAAAGUUAGUAUCUUGGCAUUUGUGUAGGUGUUUUACCGACUUCUAGGUUAUGAAAUUGUGGUCCCUAACGGGAUUGAGAUUUCAUCUAGCCUUAGUUAUUGGAAGAUCGGAUAUCGGAGAAACGUUGUUCAGUUUUUUUAGUUAUCAUCGUGGUUACACAAAGUUCGGUUUGGCAGGUCGAUUCAGUUGGGUUGGUUUUUGGAUUGAUUCGACCAGGAUUUUUAGCAGCAUUUCUGGAUAUUUUUUUGUGUUCUUCUUUGAUAUUGGAAGUUUUAUUGGUUUUUUCUCAUUGAUGGGAGUUUUCAAUCUUAUUCAAUGUGUGGUAUCUUGUGGUGGUAGUUAGAAGAAUGUGUCUAAUAGCAGUUAAGGUUCAUCGCAUCGUUCAAUUCGUUGGUAUGUCACCUUUUGGGUAAGGUUAUAAUUAAGAAGGAACAUAGUCAGCUGGGGAAGCAUUAUGUUUCCUCCUAGAGGGUGUGAAAAAUUGUGCUUUCUAGUUGGAACGAGAAUUCAUUUGUGGAUCUAGUGCUGGUUGGGUGUGGUCAUGUUUUAUUUGGCGAUGUAACGGUGACUGUAGAUUGUGAAAGAGUAUGUGUUUUAGGAUGCUAUGUAUCCUAUAUUUCUGGCAAGUGUUGAUUGGGAUGUUGAAUGGGUUCCUACUGGUCGGUGAAAUGAUGGCAGUGCGUCUUUAGACCCAUUGGAUGUGGUUGGGAGUCUUCAUGCUUAUGUUCAGAUGAUGGAAAGAAAGGUGAGGAGCUGUAAGCUUCUCAUCCCAAUGGCUGGAUGGCGUUAUGGCAUGUAAUGAGACACCGUGGAUUUCACUUUUGUGAGUGGGCUGGCAGAUGUGUAGUGAGACCCAUCUGUUGGUUUGUUAUUUAUAUGGAAUAGUCGGGAGUUUGCGCAGUAUAGUGCUGUCACUAGUGGCUCAAUGACCGGCAGGUUGAGUCGGGCCAUUGUAGGGUGUUGACUUGCUGGAAAAGUCAUGAUGGUAUGUGAGCAUCUCAUUAUUGGGAUUCUUAUUAGUGGACUCGUGUUCGUUUUGCGAUGAGGUUUCGUGUGAUCUCUCUACCUAAGUUAGCUAUGCUAUAGUGGUGUGCAUACUAGACUAGCCAAGUCUUAGUAGCUGAUUGCUCCAUGUGAGAUAUGUAUGUUUUCUUGUACACUGUACUUAUGAUUGACUCAUGCAAUAGUUUUGACACUUGCUAUUUGCUUGUUUCAUUUUCCAUGUGUUGGUUCAGGCUCUUUAAGAGUGUGUCCUGGUGAGUGGGGGAACUUCCUUUUGGGUAGUUUUCAUUUUAGUUAUGUUGAUACAACUUGGACAUGUCUUGUUGGUAAUCAUGAUGUUUUGAAUUAUCAUACAUAACUAGUUUUUGAUUUUGGUUGUUUUGAUUUUAAACGUAACAUUAGUGAUUGUUUUGGAAAUAAUUGAUUUACAGACUUUUGUUGCUAAUUUCCGUUAAAUGAUGUUUUAAAAUUAAAAAAAUUGGUGAAAAUCACGGCGUUACUUAAAACCAAAAACAAAAACCGUAUUUUCAUCAUCUUCAAACAUAUCUACCCCAUAAUCAUAUUUCAUAUGUCUUUUUAUGUCAUCGAUAAACCAAACUACACUAGAAAGACACAUAUCUUGCAGUCAUUGUAUGGAGACCUUCAAAGAUAUGUAAACCAGAGUUGAUUUAGAUCCACUUUGACUUGGUCCACCUGGUCCACUGGGCUUACUUAGGCAUUGAUAUAUGGUGUGCCCAAUUUGGUUAAAAAUGGUAUAUUUUUGUGGAAAGCAUGCCCUUGACAUGGAAUGCCUUUUGUACCCACUUAGUUCAUUUUUGGAUGAUCAUAAGCCCUGCUUUCUAUGAAUUUAAUCUCAUUUGUUGUUACUUCAAAGUUUGGUAUUGUUGUUGCUCUCACAACCCUUUAAAAAGGUUUGAAAUAUUGUUCACAUUUAAAUAUUUUGUUGAAGUUAGCUAGGAUGGCCUAGCACAUAAUCAUUUUUCCACAUCAGGUAGUCUUUCUUUAUAUCUUCUAUUAAUCAUUGAUGAAAACAAUAGAGUGGUUAAUGUAUGCAUGAUCAAAAUAAUUGAAUCAAUAGAAUGGUAAUGGAUAUACCUUGUGUCCAUCUAGGAGUAUUGUAAUGUCACGACCAUUUCCUUUCAGUGUCUUCCAUCAGAUGGUCCAAAAGCCAUUUCCAUUUUCUCUUAUUCUCAACAUUUACUAUUCCCCAAACUAAAGGAUAAAUGUAAUUAUUGGUAUCCCUUCCUACUAUUGAUAGGAGCUCCCCUCUACAUGUGCCCUUUAGAAAGUAGCCACCAAUUCCAAUGACCUUUAUGCAUUCAUGUAAUGUAAAACCUUUCAAAAACCACAAUAUCAUCAAGCUACAACUCUAAAUACACCUCAACAUGAGAAACUGGAUUCGCCCUUCUAUUUCUAGUUACAUAAUCCAACAAUUUUGCAUAAUGUUCUUUCAAACUUCCCUCAGUUUCAGAUAACGCAAACUUUUUUUGUAUUCCUACACUAACCAACACUCACAUUAAUGUUGAAUCUCUUAGAUACUUAGGCUUACAUAUCCCUCAAACUCAUUUUUUCAUCUCCAAAAUGUAAUUCCGAAACUGUUUCCAUAUCCACUUAUAUGUUACAACUGACUGAAGUUUGAAUGCCCUUGAGGACUUGUACUCUAGUAUAAGGGGCUUAAUUUGAAAAUUUAUUUCCUCUUUCAUACGUAGGAUGCAAACAAACUAAAAGGGUAUGUUGAAUUCUUUCAUAUACAACACCUAACUAGAAACCUAUCCAUUUCAUUAUUUUUAAACCACCAGCUAUAGCCAUUGGCUACAACAUAGUUUCUAAGAGAGAAUUUUGUUGGAUUAAUUUCUAAGUCCAUAACUAUAUUUGGUAUGUACUUGACCCGACCCGACAUGGUCCAUUUGGGCAGCACUUCACCGACACAAUUUAUAUGGAUAGUCUUUUGAGAAUAGUAUAUUUAUGAUUUAUAUUAAUAUAUUAUAAGUUCCAAUAUAUUAAUGUGGAAUCAUAUUAUUUAAUUGGGAAAAUUUCAUAUAUAUCCUUACAAACAUUAAAAAUUACAUGGAUAUCCUUCCAAAAUUCAUAAUUACAUAUAUAUCAUUGUUAACCUAUUAAACUCACAUUUAUAUCCAAUCUUAUAAUAAAAUAAGGUAUAAAUUAAUUUAAUACAAUAAUACAUAUUUAAAAAUCAAAAUAAAAGAUAAUUAUACCAAAAUACCCUUUCCAAAUUGUUAAAGAAAAAAACUAAAUAAAUUUAAUUAGGAUUAAAACCUAAUUAAAUAUGGAAAACUUCAAAACACACGUUAUUUAAUAAAACCUUCAGGAACUCAUUGUGAAGAACUUGACGUGAAGUGAAGAACUCCUGCCGUUUCUUCUUGAUCGCUCACUUAUACAAAUCGUUGAUAGCCUCAUUAUUCUCUUCUUCAUCACAACAGAUUUAUCCUGUUCUUCAUUCCAUUAAUUUUGAUUUCGUAUUUGAUUAAGUUCUUGCAUCGAUUAAUUUUUGGUUUACAAUAGACAAUUUAUUAUCCUCCUCUUUAAUGGAUAAUGAGGUUGAUUACCUGCUGUUGGAAUAAAAGGGUGGUAAUUGGUGUAAAUUGCUGAAAUGUUUCAAGAUUUGGUGUUUGGGAAUUGUAUAAAUAUUUUGCCAAAUGAGUGGCACCUGUAAGAAAAUUUAAACCAGAUGGGAAAUCAAGAAGGGCCUGUAAUAUAAAGUCUAAGAGACGCUGCUUCUACAGUUAGAUUAUGGUAUGGGAACUUCAAUCGCGUACAAAGACUUAUCGUUGAGGUGUCUCACAUUACUUUUGAACCAAGGACAUUCGACAUUAGGUUACCUGAACCCCUUUCUAUUGAUACUUGAUGCCAAUUUUUGUACAUUCAAUUGUGAUUCAUGAUUCAUGAUUCUCAACUCGUAAAAAAUUUGAGUCAAUUUAAAUGAGUGGGGACAAGAUUAAGAAAAAGGGAGAAACCAGUACUAGCUAUCAAGGGCAAAAGGUAAGGAGAGAACACGAGGAGGGAGAGAUGGAUCUCGGUGAAUAGAAAACUUGACCCUUCCAGAUUUGAAAGAUUUGGGCGAAUUGAUGGACCAAACCCUUGAAAGAUUUGGACGAAUUGGUGCAGCUGCAGCUAUUGUACCACCUCUACAACAGGCGGUUGUUGGUGGUAGCAGUUCAAGUAUGGUGGCGGAUAAUGUGAGUGGUAGGGAUGAGAUGCAAAGGGGGGCUCAAACUACUCAAUGGUUCACAGAUUGGAUGACCAAUCCUUCUGAACAUAAUUAAGAGGCGUGAUUUUGAACUCAAAAGCUUAUUAACAAUUCAUAGCAAAAUAUAAUAGAUUUUAAUUUGGGAGAUAAUUUAGAAAGGGUAUUUUGGUAACAUUAUAUGUAUUUUUGAUUUAUAAAUUUAUUUUAGAUAUUAAAUUGAUUUAUAUCUUAUUAAAUUAUAAGAUUGGAUAUAAAUGAGAGUUUAAUAGUUUAAGAAGGAUAUAUAAGUAAUUAUAAAUUUUGGAAGGAUAUAUACGUAAUUCUUAAUGUUUGCAAGGAUAUAUAUGAAAUUUUCCCUANNNNNNNNNNNNNNNNNNNNNNNNNNNNNNNNNNNNNNNNNNNNNNNNNNNNNNNNNNNNNNNNNNNNNNNNNNNNNNNNNNNNNNNNNNNNNNNNNNNNNNNNNNNNNNNNNNNNNNNNNNNNNNNNNNNNNNNNNNNNNNNNNNNNNNNNNNNNNNNNNNNNNNNNNNNNNNNNNNNNNNNNNNNNNNNNNNNNNNNNNNNNNNNNNNNNNNNNNNNNNNNNNNNNNNNNNNNNNNNNNNNNNNNNNNNNNNNNNNNNNNNNNNNNNNNNNNNNNNNNNNNNNNNNNNNNNNNNNNNNNNNNNNNNNNNNNNNNNNNNNNNNNNNNNNNNNNNNNNNNNNNNNNNNNNNNNNNNNNNNNNNNNNNNNNNNNNNNNNNNNNNNNNNNNNNNNNNNNNNNNNNNNNNNNNNNNNNNNNNNNNNNNNNNNNNNNNNNNNNNNNNNNNNNNNNNNNNNNNNNNNNNNNNNNNNNNNNNNNNNNNNNNNNNNNNNNNNNNNNNNNCUUAUCCUUGGACGAUUUUAAGGAUAUCCUUAUCCUUGAAUUCGUCCAUCCUUUAAUAAGGAUAAAUAUUGCCCUAUCUUGCAACUAUCUUAUAAUUACAAUUCAGCCCCUCUAGUUUAAUUAAUUACACUUGAUCACAAAAUUAAUUCCUAAUUAAUUAUUGACCAAUAUUAAUUAAACAAAUAUGAUUUUUCCUUUAAUAUACAAUUCUUAUAACAUAUUAAUAAAUCAUAAUAACCACUCUCUCUAUUUAACUUCUCUAGUCAAGUUGCUUUGGUGAAGGCAACCCAAAAGGACCAUGCACAACCGGGUCAAGUACUUACCAAAUAUGGUUACGGGCUUAGACACUAAUCCAACAAUCUCCCACUUGGAUAAGUCUAGUAACCACAAAUGUAACGUGCAACUCGAUUAGCAAUCGUAGCUCUCAAAGACGUUGUCAAACUCUGAUCUUAUUAGUAACCUGUCGUUUAGAUAAGGGAUCGUAUAGUCCUCUGUUUAAAUAUUAUGCGGACAAUUCUAUGGAAUCUUUUGUCCAGCAGUUGGUUUCUCGAUCUCAGAUUUAUUCGACAUAGAACUUAAUCAAACACAUCAUUUAGUUCUGACCGGGCCCGUCACAUAAGUCAAAUCAAAUUAUCGAGUGGCCGAGAUAUCGCUUUUACCCUCUUAGGAUAAAAGUAACAGAUAAACUUCGACUUAUAUACAUUUACUUAUUCAUUAAUCAACUAUACACAACAAUGCGUUUUAUAACAUCAAGUUACUGAUGCGGUUUCGCAUUAUCAAUGUACAACCAAUUAACAAAUAACAAACCAUAUAUCUAGGUUUUAAGAACAUAUGAUAUUAUUAUCGUGCGAUCACCCUUUUAUCACAUUCCAUAAGGUGAUCCCAGCAAGCGCAGGUUUGUUCCAAUGCUCAAAACUAUUUCAUAAGCACUCAUGAACGUUGUAACAAACUUUUGCUAUGUCUAAUACCAUUUAGACAAUCUACACACCAAUUCAUGAAAAUCUUCAUUCAUACCUACUUCCAACAUAUGAAUGAUUGUGGACAGUUUGAAUAAUUCGAUUAUUCUUAAUAAACUCAAUUAUUCUGGAAGUCAAAACAUGCAAAGUGAAACAAUAGCUAAACAAUUAACAUAAGAUAGUAACAUUACUCAUAAAUAAAACUCCUUUAUUUAAUCAUCAAAUGUUAAUUACAUUUAUCUAUUACACGUUUCUAAUACUAUCUAAUCUAUGCUAAUAUCAUCCUUCAGCCCAAUACUCCUAGCAUGCUGCAAGUGCUUAACCCUACUCAGUCCCUUCGUAAGCGGAUCUGCUGGGUUAUCUUCUGAUGAUAUCCUCUUCACUACGAGUUGUCCUUCUUCUACACGAUGUCUAAUGAAGUGAUAUUUUCUGUCGAUAUGUCUUGAUCUACCAUGAUCCCUCGGUUCCUUGGUCAAGGCAACCGCUCCUUCGUUAUCACAGAAAAUCUCCAUGGGCUCCUUUAUGGCAGGUACAACUCCAAGAUCACCGAUGAAGUUCUUUAGCCAUAUUGCCUCCUUCGACGCUUCGCUCGCUGCAAUGUACUCUGAUUCGCACGUUGAAUCAGCUACGGUUUCCUGCUUGGAACUCUUCCAUGUCACUGCUCCUCCAUUUAGGGUAAAGACCCAGCCCGACUGCGAACGGUAGUUGUCCCUGUCGGUCUGAAAACUGGCGUCACUAUACCCUCGCACCUUCAAGUCAUCACUCCCUCCGAGGACUAAGAACCAUUCCUUCGUCCUCCGAAGGUACUUAAGGAUAUUCUUCACCGCAAUCCAAUGUGCUUUGCCAGGAUUCCCUUGAUAUCUGCUAACCAUGCUCAAAGCGAAGGCUACAUCAGGGCGAGUACAAGUCAUAGCGUACAUGAUUGAGCCAACUGCGGAAGCGUAUGGUACUCGGCUCAUUUCUGCUAUCUCAGCUUCGGUACUCGGACUUUGAGUCUUACUCAAUUUGGCAUUACUUUGUAUCGGUAGUUCUCCCUUCUUUGAGUUUUCCAUACUAAAACGUUUUAGUACCUUCUCUAAGUAAGUAUUCUGACUAAGUCCAAUUAGUCUCUUACUUCUUUCUCUUACUAUCCUUAUUCCCAAAAUGUAAGAAGCCUCUCCGAGGUCCUUCAUAGCGAAGCACUUCCCGAGCCAGGACUUAACCUCCUGCAGAGUCGGGAUGUCGUUUCCUAUGAGUAAUAUGUCAUCGACAUAUAGAACGAGGAAGCUUACUAUACUCCCACUGGCUUUGACAUAUACACAAGAUUCGUCUUCGCUUCGUACAAAUCCAAACUCUUUGACUUUCUCAUCGAAGCAAAGAUUCCAUCUGCGAGACGCUUGCUUAAGUCCAUAAAUGGACUUCUCAAGCUUACACACUCUAUUCGGAUGCUUCGGAUCCACAAACCCCUCUGGCUGAGCCAUGUAAACAUCCUCAGCCAACUUUCCAUUAAGGAAAGCGGUCUUGACAUCCAUUUGCCAAAUCUCAUAAUCAUGAAAUGCGGCAAUUGCUAGCAUCACUCUAAUAGAUUUAAUCUUCGCAACUGGUGAGAAGGUCUCAUCAUAGUCAACUCCGGGAGUUUGAGUAAAGCCCUUCGCAACCAAUCGCGCUUUAUAUGUGUGUACGUUUCCAUCCACGUCGGUCUUCUUCUUGAAGAUCCAUUUGCACCCAACGGUCUUACGUCCGGGCACAUAAUCAACCAAAUUCCAAACUUGGUUAUCAUACAUGGAUUGGAUCUCGCUAUCCAUUGCCUCUUUCCAUUUUGCAGACUCCGGGCCUGCCAUGGCUUCCUUAUAGCUAUUAGGUUCAUCAAGAUUUACUAGUGUACCAUCACUAAUAUACGUGUCCCCUUCGGUAGUAAUAUGAAAACCAUAAAACUGGGGUUGAACUCUAACUCUAUCGGAACGUCUAAGAGGUAAGGAUUCGUCAAUUGGUUCAACCGGAGUUUCCUCCUCGGGUUGAGUGCCAGCGGUAGAGGUUCCUUCAUCUAUCGACUCUUGAAUCUCUUCAAGCUCGAUUUGCCUCCCACUGUCUCCUUGGCUUAUGAGUUCUCGCUCUCGGAAAACUCCUCUCCUCGCAACGAAGACAACAUUGUCCUUCGGUCUAUAGAAGAGAUAUCCAAAGGAUGUCUGCGGGUAGCCGAUGAAAAUACAUCGCUCACUUCGAGGUUCAAGCUUGUCGUGAGUAUCUCGUCUUACGAAAGCCUCGCAACCCCAAACCUUGAUAUGUGCCAACGAGGGAGCUUUCCCUGUCCACAUCUCGUGAGGUGUUUUGGCAACCUUUUUAGUAGGGACUCGGUUAAGGAUAUGGGCGGCAGUCUCUAAGGCAUACCCCCAAAAAGAGAUAGGUAGUGAAGCACGACUCAUCAUAGAACGAACCAUGUCCAACAAGGUUCGAUUACGCCUUUCUGCCACACCAUUCAACUGUGGUGUCCUAGGUGGCGUUAAUUGCGAAACGAUUCUGCAUUCUUUAAGAUAGUCGUGGAAUUCAAGACUUAUGUACUCUCCUCCUCGAUCGGAUCGAAGCAUCUUGAUUUUCCUGCCCAAUUGAUUCUCCACUUCAUGUUUGAAUUCUUUGAACUCUUCAAACGUUUCUGACUUUUGCUUGAUUAAGUAAAUAUACCCAUAUCUACUAUAAUCAACGAUGAAAGUCACAUAGAAGCGGUUCGCAUCCUUUGUGGUGGAUCUAAAGGGUCUACAUACAUCGGUAUGUAUGAGAUCCAACAAACCCUCACCCCUUGCACAAGAACCAAUGAAGGGUGACUUGGUCAUCUUUCUAAGUAAACAAGACUCACACGUGUCAUCUUCCCUAAGCUCAACUGACUCCAACACUCCAUGCUUUUGGAGUUGGGCUAUGCGCUUCUUGUUGACAUGUCCAAGACGACAAUGCCACAAACAUGCUUUAUCCAUACUAUUGGACGAAUCCAGGCAUAAAACAUCAUUUCCUAGGUUAUCUACAAUCAUAACAGUUUCAUAAAUUCCAUUACAUGACAUUGCUUCAAAAUAUAAGACACCAUUCAGAUAAGCAUAAAUUGAACCAUUCUCAUUAUUAAAAGAAAAUCUAAAUCCUUGUCUAAACAAACCAUGAAACGAAAUGAUGUUUCUUGCCAUUUCUGGUGAGUAGCAACAAUUAUUCAAAUCUAAACAUAAUCCAUUACUAAGNNNNNNNNNNNNNNNNNNNNNNNNNNNNNNNNNNNNNNNNNNNNNNNNNNNNNNNNNNNNNNNNNNNNNNNNNNNNNNNNNNNNNNNNNNNNNNNNNNNNNNNNNNNNNNNNNNNNNNNNNNNNNNNNNNNNNNNNNNNNNNNNNNNNNNNNNNNNNNNNNNNNNNNNNNNNNNNNNNNNNNNNNNNNNNNNNNNNNNNNNNNNNNNNNNNNNNNNNNNNNNNNNNNNNNNNNNNNNNNNNNNNNNNNNNNNNNNNNNNNNNNNNNNNNNNNNNNNNNNNNNNNNNNNNNNNNNNNNNNNNNNNNNNNNNNNNNNNNNNNNNNNNNNNNNNNNNNNNNNNNNNNNNNNNNNNNNNNNNNNNNNNNNNNNNNNNNNNNNNNNNNNNNNNNNNNNNNNNNNNNNNNNNNNNNNNNNNNNNNNNNNNNNNNNNNNNNNNNNNNNNNNNNNNNNNNNNNNNNNNNNNNNNNNNNNNNNNNNNNNNNNNNNNNNNNNNNNNNNNNNNNNNNNNNNNNNNNNNNNNNNNNNNNNNNNNNNNNNNNNNNNNNNNNNNNNNNNNNNNNNNNNNNNNNNNNNNNNNNNNNNNNNNNNNNNNNNNNNNNNNNNNNNNNNNNNNNNNNNNNNNNNNNNNNNNNNNNNNNNNNNNNNNNNNNNNNNNNNNNNNNNNNNNNNNNNNNNNNNNNNNNNNNNNNNNNNNNNNNNNNNNNNNNNNNNNNNNNNNNNNNNNNNNNNNNNNNNNNNNNNNNNNNNNNNNNNNNNNNNNNNNNNNNNNNNNNNNNNNNNNNNNNNNNNNNNNNNNNNNNNNNNNNNNNNNNNNNNNNNNNNNNNNNNNNNNNNNNNNNNNNNNNNNNNNNNNNNNNNNNNNNNNNNNNNNNNNNNNNNNNNNNNNNNNNNNNNNNNNNNNNNNNNNNNNNNNNNNNNNNNNNNNNNNNNNNNNNNNNNNNNNNNNNNNNNNNNNNNNNNNNNNNNNNNNNNNNNNNNNNNNNNNNNNNNNNNNNNNNNNNNNNNNNNNNNNNNNNNNNNNNNNNNNNNNNNNNNNNNNNNNNNNNNNNNNNNNNNNNNNNNNNNNNNNNNNNNNNNNNNNNNNNNNNNNNNNNNNNNNNNNNNNNNNNNNNNNNNNNNNNNNNNNNNNNNNNNNNNNNNNNNNNNNNNNNNNNNNNNNNNNNNNNNNNNNNNNNNNNNNNNNNNNNNNNNNNNNNNNNNNNNNNNNNNNNNNNNNNNNNNNNNNNNNNNNNNNNNNNNNNNNNNNNNNNNNNNNNNNNNNNNNNNNNNNNNNNNNNNNNNNNNNNNNNNNNNNNNNNNNNNNNNNNNNNNNNNNNNNNNNNNNNNNNNNNNNNNNNNNNNNNNNNNNNNNNNNNNNNNNNNNNNNNNNNNNNNNNNNNNNNNNNNNNNNNNNNNNNNNNNNNNNNNNNNNNNNNNNNNNNNNNNNNNNNNNNNNNNNNNNNNNNNNNNNNNNNNNNNNNNNNNNNNNNNNNNNNNNNNNNNNNNNNNNNNNNNNNNNNNNNNNNNNNNNNNNNNNNNNNNNNNNNNNNNNNNNNNNNNNNNNNNNNNNNNNNNNNNNNNNNNNNNNNNNNNNNNNNNNNNNNNNNNNNNNNNNNNNNNNNNNNNNNNNNNNNGGAUGAGAUUCAUUGAAACUAUUCAAUGGCAUGUUUAAAUCUCGAUAUGCCCCUCUUGUUUGUGACUGGGAUACCGAGGAUCACAAAGCGGGUGUGAAUUACCAUGCAAAUUCACAUGGUGCCUUCAUUGUAACGAUCACCUAUUCGAUGUGCCGGUAAACCACACACGCUCCAUCGAACUAUGAUAAACAAUGAAUCACCCUUUACCACCUUUGCUUAGAACCAAUUAGUGUGCCGGUAAACCACGCACGCUCCACUAACUUCUUAGCAAGGGUGCAAAGUGUAAUUUCAUGGGAUUGCAUCAAUUCACUUUUCCUAAAGUAACUAGGAUUGGGAAUUUUGAAAAACAUGUAGUUACUUUGUAUUCUUAUAUUAUACUUUUAAUGAGGAGAUGAGGUUGCCCUAUCCUACCCGUUCGGCUAACGACCCUCCACCAGUCAAGCAAGCGGUGGGUGUGAGUGUACACCCAUUAAACGGCAUUUUAUAGGCCGCAACCUUAUACCCACCUUAUAGACCGACUUCGUGAAUGAGGCCUACUAACGGUAAGACUAGCAUUUUAAUUAUACAUAUAUAUAUUUAUUAAGCUUGUAAUAAUAUAAUAGUAUAUGGUGUAUUUUAAACAUUUCAAAAUACUAGGGUUUUAAUCUACAAUUUAAAAUUUUCAAAAUUUAAUACCAUUUAAAUUAAAAUUUUAAAUAUUAAAACUUUUGAUUUAAUAAUUAUCUUAAAUUAAACUAUUAAUUUAAAUUAUCAAAUCAUAAGGGAUUAUCUAAAUCAUAAGGAUAAUUACCAUUUAAACAUUUAAGUUAUCCUAAUCCCUUAAAUCCCUUCUAAAUUUCGAAAAAUAGGGAUGGGAUAAUUCAAGAUCUUUAAUUACCAUAUUUAACUAUUAAAGGAUAAUUACAAGAUAUGGGAUCAUCCAAAUCCCUAAAAUUUAGGAUCUUAUAUUGGGGAAGGAGGCAAAUCUCGAAAUCUUAGGGUUUGCAAACCCUAGAUCUCGAAAUCUUGGAUUAAUGGAAAGGAUUUAAAAAACCUUUCUACAAUUUUCGCAAAUUAGGGUUAAGAAACCCUAAUCUCGAAAUUUUCAUGCCUCCUAGGGUUUAUUGGCUAUAAACCCUAAUUUGUCAAGUUCAUACAAUUGUAUAAUGCUAAUUAAAAACAAUUUAACCAAUGGCUCUGAUGGCUCACAAACACCACAAGCAAUUGGAGAGGCUAUAGAGAGAAAAGGGAGGAGGUAGAAAUCGUCCUUAGAUGCUCUAGGGAUCAAGUGGAUGAAUUUCUAAGGCCUUAGGGGUCUUUAUAUAGGGUUGGGAUUAGGGUUUCAGUCCUUAUCCUUAUCCAGUUACUUGCCCACCAAGCAACCACAAGAUAAGCCUUGAAAACCCUUAUCUCUUUGACCUUGGACGAUUUUAAGGAUAUCCUUAUCCUUGAAUUCGUCCAUCCUUUAAUAAGGAUAAUUAUUUCCCUAUCUUGCAACUAUCUCAUAAUUACAAUUCAGCCCCUCUAGUUUAAUUAAUUACACUUGAUCACAAAAUUAAUUCCUAAUUAAUUAUUGACCAAUAUUAAUUAAACAUAUAUGAUUUUUCCUUUAAUAUAUAAUUCUUAUAACAUAUUAAUAAAUCAUAAUAACCUCUCUCUCUAUUUAAUUUCUCUAGUCAAGUUGCUUUGGUGAAGGCAACCCAAAAGGACCAUGCACAACCGGGUCAAGUACUUACCAAAUAUGGUUACGGGCUUAGACACUAAUCCAACAGUUUUAACCCAUUGAUCUUAUGAAAUGAAAGGUCAUGGGUAUUAGGGUUUACAUGUAUGUAACCAUAAUCCUCCAUACUAUAUAAAGAGGCCUUUGACACAAGAAAUGGUACUAGUUUGUGAGGACAUAAGUGUGGGCCGAUUUUAGUGUGCAUACAUAUUCUCUCAAGUUCUUCCAAGGUGUUUUGGUGAUUUGUUAUUCCACUUGAGGCUUCCACACUAUUGGGGCUAAGCUCUUAAAGCUUGAAGACAUCAAGCUACAUCAAAAGGUAUGUCAUCUAACUGGAACUUUGUAGUAUAGGUGCUUCAUGAGAUGCUAGGUAGGACGAAACCUUGGAAUAUUUAAUAUUUGCAUGUAUAAUAGAGAAAACAUAGAUCCAAGGUUUAUAGGGUUGUAUGUACACCAUAGGAGUGUUAGAAUGCUCAAAACCUAACAGUGGUAUUAGAGCCUAGGCUUGUUUUCUUGUUAUACUUGCUUAAAUUGCUGAAAAAUCGAAUAUUUGUGCUGUCUGGGCAGGGGAAUCGACGAGUCCAAGUGCAAACUCAUCCAGGUCGUUGAGUUGGUUCAUGCACUCGACGAGUUGGACCCCCAUGACGACAUAUCUUCGAGUUUUAAAGGUGGAAUUGGUCUAGAAUCACUACCUUAAGCUAUUUUGGACUUAUAAAACUUGUUUUGAAAGUGGUAAUGAUUAUAGUAAACCAAUUUCAAGGUUAAAAUCAAAAUUUCAAGUUUUAUUUAUGUUAAUGUAAUUCUUGAAAUUGUUGAUAUGGAUUGUUCAUGCUUAUGAGUUUUGGUAGAUCAAGGAAUUAUUUACAAAAUUGUUUGUUAGUUAAUUCUUGAUCUAAAUGUAUUUUAAUGGACUCCAUAAUUUGUCCUCAAGUUAUGGAUUACCAAAAAUUUUUGUGUUACCUUGUUUUAUGAGUUAUUUUAGAUUAAUGAAAAAUGUGUGUUAGUUAUUUUCAAUCCAAAUUAAUCUAAAAGUUGUUCAUAAAAUGUGUUUUUGUAACUUGUCCUUAAGUUAUAUGAAAAUUCACAUUUAUGAAUCUUAAAACUUAUAAAAAUGCCUUAGGUUACAAAAAAUGAACAAUCUUUUCUUAUAAAUAGUUUUUAUGGCUCCAUAACUUGUCCUCAAGUUAUGGAUGUAUAAAAGUCUUCAUUAAAAGUUUUAAAGCUUUAAUUAAACUCAUAAGUUAUGAAAAUCCAAGAGCUUUGAAUAGUUUCAAAACUUGCCCUCAAGUUUUGGAACAUAUAAAGUCAUAAUUAAAACUUUAGUUCCAAUCCCUAGAAUUUUAAAAGUUAAAAUUCAACCCUUAUACUUUGUAAUAUUAUAAGUUUAAUAAUAUUUAUAUAUGUAUAAGAACAAAAGUCGUCUUACCGUUAGUAGGCCUCAUUCAUGAAGCCGGUCUAUAAGGGGGUAUAAGGCUACUGCCUAUUAAAUGACAGUUUAAUGGGUGUCCACUCUCACCCACCGCUUCCUUGACCGAUGGAGGUGAUGGGUUUUAGACAUAAGAACAAUCCUAUGUGCUCAUACAAACCCUAAUGCUUGGAUCUAGGUUUCUCUAUUGUACAUGCAAUGUAUCCAAGACUUACAAUCUUAGAUCUAACAUAUUAUAAACUGAAAUUAGGGUUUAGAGAAUUACCUUUGAUUGUUAUGUAGCAAUAACAAUCUCAAUUCCUCCUUACAAUGACUUUAGAAAGCUUAGAGUCACAAAUGUCACUCAUCUAAUGGCUCACAAAUACCAAGAGCAAGAGGAUGAAGAAUAAGGAGAGAGGAGGCUGCCAAAAACCGUCCAAAACCCUAAGGAGUUACUUCCACACGUUUUUGGUGCUCUAGGGAUCUUUAAAUAGUGAGGCUAUUAGGGUUAUCUAACAAGGAAACCCUAAUUUGGAUGCUUAGGCCCUAAGCAACCCAUGGACUCCUUCCUUAAAGGCCUAGGACGAUUUCUAAUGGGUUUCCCCAUAGAAUUCGUCCACCCCUCUAAUAUGGAGUCCAUUAGCNNNNNNNNNNNNNNNNNNNNNNNNNNNNNNNNNNNNNNNNNNNUAUUUUGUAACUAUCACAUAAUUACAAUUCAGCCCCUCUAGUUUAAUUAAUUACACUUGAUCACAAAAUUAAUUCUUAAUUAAUUAUUGACCAAUAUUAAUUAAACAAAUAUGAUUUCUCCUUUAAUAUAUUAUUCUUAUAACAUAUUAAUAAAUCAUAAUAACCUCUUUCUCUUUAUUUAUUUCUCCAAUCAAGUUGCUUAGGUGAAGGCAACCCAAAAGGUCCAUGCACCAUCGGGUCAAGUACAUACCAAAAUAGUUAGACUUAGACACUAAUCCAACAGGAGGGUCGUUAGCCGAACAGGUAGGAGAAGGACAAUAAUUCUCCUUCAUUAUAAGUAUAAGGAUAAAUACUAAGUAACUAAACACUUAUAAAUUCCCAAUCUUAGUUACUUAGGAAAAUGUGAAUAAGGUGCUAAUCCAAGAAAUUACACUUUGCACUUUCUUUAAGCCGUUAGUAGAGCGUGUGUGGUUAACCGGCACACUAACCUGGAUUUAACAAGGUAGGCAAAGGGUAACUUAAUAUUUAUCAUAGUAUCGGUGGAGCGUGUAUGGUUAACCAGCACAUCGAUUGAGGGGUAAAUAUUAAGGGUACCAAGUAUAUUUACAUGGUUACUUCACACUUUGUUUUGUGAUCCUCGGCAUCCCACUCACAAAACCUGAAGGGCACACUCGAGAUUGAAACAUGCCAUUGAAAAGUUCAAUGAAUCUCAAAAGAAUCUAGGAGUUUCAAAACCAAUUAAAACCUAAUAAUACAUUUUGUUUAUCUUGGUGGAAAUUGGUGAAUCGUCAUUCACCUACCUUCAAAUAUUUUAUAGCUUGGAUUACGGCAUCCCUCUUUCAAGUUAUAAAAUAGUUUGUUGGGUCCUAGCCUUAAUAUUUUAUAUUGGGUGUUAUAUUAAGGACUUAAAUCAACUGUACUUGAAUUUCUGAAUUUCUCCCAUUGUUGAUGUAUGGUUUAGACAACAAUGAUCUUCCCAAAUCAAGCUUUCCUAAUGAAUGUGACUUCCCGAGUUUGGCUCAUGGAAGUCAUACUUCUCUUCCUCUUCAUCCUCCAAUUAUUCUCCUUGACCCACAAGUUUAAGGACUUGAAAUGUUCAAGAUCAUUCAAUCCCUAUUCAUAAUAAAACAUAAAAUUGGAAGUCCUGUGUGCACUCAUGUCUUAGGACUGAAGUCACACAAUGAUAGGUUUAGAAUGUUGGGUGUCGUUGUCCCAAGGAAGUUGGCUAUUAACUGGGUCUUUCAGUCACUUCCUGAGUCAUAUAGAAAGACUACUAUGUGACAGAUCACGACAUGACCCUAAUGGAUCUUUCUUAUUCUCUUAUUGUUGCUGAAUCAAAAAUGAUUUAGUGCAAUAGUCAAGCAAAUAUGGAUGGAAGGUCUAUUUCUCAAACUUCCAUGGACAUGGAAAGUGGUUACAUUGGAAGUUCAGAAAAACUUUCUCUUCCCAAUGGAAAGGGAUUGGCCUUGGUCAACCCAGUUGACCAGAAGGUAAAGAGAAAGUCUAAGUCUGGAAUAUCCUGUGUCCCAUUCCCAAAGAGUCUAUAUGUUCUCAGUGUGAAGAAAAGGGGCAUUGGAAGCGAAGCUGCCCAAGCUACCUGAAAGAAAGAAGAAUAAAAAGUUUGACUCUGCUUCUGGUAAGUCCAAUAUCUAACUCUGUUAAGUUCCCAGUUGAUGAUUCUUAACACAAAGUGUGACUCGGUUGCAUUUUGAUAUUUAGCAGGAUCAAGCAAAGGGAAGGAAACUUAAAGAAAGAGUAUGCUGAAUUUGAUCGCAAAGAUGGAUUUCUUUCGGUUGUUUGAAGAUUGAAUUCUUGAGCUACUUCUUAGGAGUUAUGAUAGAUUGCUAGGAAACAUGUAAUAGCAUAGUUUUCAUUUCAAGUUGCAUUGUAAGGAAAAGUUUUUUCCACAUUUUAAAAUAAAUAAAAGUUUGUUUUACAUUAUUUUUAUCUCCUUACAAUGGCAUUCAAGAAAACUUGAUGUUUUUAUGUUUAUAGCAAUAUUGGAAAUAUGAAUUUGAUUCUCUCAUUUGUGGUAGUGUCUCAAUUUACCAAAUAAGGAAAGAUUCUCAUCACCCAAGUUUCAAUUGGAUCGAAACUUGGAAUCAUACAAGGUGUUUAGUGUGAUGUAUGAGAAUUUUCAACUUUGGAAAAUUAAGACUAGUUUCGUGUUCACAUGUAUAUGUGACUCAAGAGAAGGACUAAGGGAUCAAGUAAACUUUCUUGUGCACUUGUCAAAGUCCACCACAAAAGAUGGAUAAGACUAUUCGUCAUGAUUUACUAAGGUUUAGAAAAUAUGAUUAUACUUAGAAGCUUAAGUAUAAUUCUGAGACAUUGGAAAAGUUUCAAUGUAUGAUAGAACGAAUAAGAAGAAUCAAAUUAGGCAGAAGGGUAAAAGUUUCUCAAACAUGAAAAGAUGGGAGAGUACUUUAGUAUCAUGUUUUAAGAUCAUCUUAAUGAUUUUGAGACCUUAUCACAAUUCAUCCUCUAAGUGCAUUCUGAUAGUUAAGAAGAGGAGUUAUGAAUUGUUGAAGUGGUUAAAUCAAGAAGAUGAUUCAUACUUUGUUCCAAAAACAAUUCUUAGAGUUAUACUCUAAGAUUGUAACUUGAGUGACAUGUCUUAAAGAAGGUUUAAAACACUUGUCAAAUGUAAGAGUAAAAGUUUUCUACUCUUGUACAUUUGAAAUUGGUAAGUUGUGAUGUUUUGGAUAAAACAAAGACCAACUAAGGCUAAUUGUGUUAAGUGUCUGUCUUGAUUAGAAUCCACACUAUCUCUUGAAUAUUUGGCAAGAAAGUCUUAUAGGUCAAGGAGACAGUGGGAGUCUAAAAGAUCCUGAAAGGGUUUCAAGAAGUAAUCAAUAAUAAAACUUGUAUUUCAUCACUAGCACACAACUAGAGGUUUAUAACGUAUCGUGUUGACAUUUCUGUGCCCAUUCCAGUUAAGUUGUCUAUACAUUUGAGUUCUACAUGUUCUCAAUUGCUUGCAUAGCUACUUGGAAGCAAUGGCAGGCCCUUGAUCUGCCAGGUGGCAAGAAGUUAAGAUUGCACAAGUUCAAUCCAUAUGAGUUAGGAUUUGUCACUAACCUAGUCUUGUGAUUAUGGUUUGACAAAUUUACGUGGAUAAGAACACAUGCACCAUAAAAUCUAAGUUUCAUAAGGUUUCUCUCUGAUUCAUGAAAAUGAUGGUGAGGAAAUUCUUUCACUAAGUAGAUUUUAAGUAGAUAGCAAUUGUGAUAUUUACAGUUCUUAAAGUCGUUAGUGGAGCAUGUGUGGUUAACCGACACACUAACAUUAACUUAUGAGAAAUGACAAAAAGUCUAAAUAAUUGAGACUAUGAUUAUGGCAUCCCUUUUCAUAGUUAUGAAAUUGUUUAGACACACCUGUGAGCUAUCUAAGAUAAGGUGUAUGAUUUUGAUAAAAUCUUAUCAAAGCAAUCUAGUAUCAGAAACCUGAACUUUGGUAAGAAUGUUAAUAAAGUAUUGACUUCUAGAGGUCCAACUGUUUUCUAGAUACAUGUCAAAGCUAUUGGGAGCAUAAGUGUUAUGCUAAUAAUCAUCAUGUUAGUGGGAGCAUGAUAAUUAUGAUAAGUAUUACAAAUUAGCAAUGUUAAUUAUAGAAAACAAAAGUUUCAAUUCGUGAGGUUGCAGGGGUUGAAAAAGUUGUUUUGCUAUAAUUAAGGGAGAGGAAAUUAUACUUCUUUUCAAUUCUAAAAAGCUUAGAUUGAGUUUAUAAUCAUUCUAAAGAGCUUAUAUUGAGGUUUUAAUCACCUUUAGUCAAGAAUAUAUAUAUGAAUUUCAUGUUGGAUUGGUUCAACUUAAGAAAAUUCUAUAUAUUGCGUUCUCAAAAUUCGAUUACGGCAUCUCUUUUCAUAGUCAAAUUUUGAGAAUAUGGAAAACAGAAAUUAUUAUGGAAAAAGACUGGUCUAGAACCAUGUCUUUAUGUGAAACAUCAUGAAUCGUGUCCCAUUUAUUUUGGGUACAAGAUCGAUUACAUGUGCUAUAAUAUUUAUCCUUUCUAAAUUGUCCAAAUGCCUUAGGGCAUUAAGGGGAACAGUGUCUAGAAUUGGAUAUGACUAAAGUGAUUAAGCAAUUGUCGAGGACAAUCUAAGGUUUACGAAAGAUUGGUUGCUCAAGGACAAUUGGAAGUAUAUUGUUAAUAUUGGAAGGACCAUAUUGACAUAGUCUGAAAAGAGGCAACUCUUGUUCAUAAGUGGUAGUCAAAAUGGGAAUAUAGAGUUGUCUUCAUAGGUGGAAGCAAUCUGUGUAAGGUUAAAGAAACUUAAUGCAAGAAGCAUGUUCAAAGCAAUGCGCUUUGAAUUUGAGACAUCGUUUCCAUGGAAUUGCUCUCCAUUGGAAUACUCUGUAAUGAUUGUUGCCAAGUCUUUGUGGCUUUGUGCAUAAUCAUUACAAGAGGAACAAUGCAUAUAAGUUUAAAAUCUAAACAAAUUUCGAUAAAUGUUAGGAAUUCUUACAUUUACGACAAGGAUUUGGGAUUGUGAAAAGAGAAUCAUUGAAAUUAUGUUCAAUUGAUCUAGUUCACAAAGAAAAGGAUCAUAGACAAACAUACAGUUCAUAAUUGGUGUAUGGCAAAACUAUUGUUUAGAAAACAUAGUGUACAUGCUUGGAGCAUAGGACACCUAGUGUGUUAAUUCAAGUAUAAAGUUGAUAAAACCGAACCAUGAAUACUGAGUAAUCAGUAUGGUGAUAAAUAGAAAGUGUUUUAUUUAUAUUUAUAGGUUUUGAUACCAUAUUAGAUUCAUUUAUUCUUGUGUUUCACUUUGCAUGUUUUGACUUCCAUAAUAACUAGGUUAUUCUUCCGGAAUGACUAAGUUAUUCAAACCAUCCACAGUCGGUCAUAUGUUGGAAGUAGAUAUGAAUCAAGACUGUCAUGGGUUGGCUUGUAGAGGUCCAAGUUGGUGGACAAAGUUGUGCUACAACACUCAUGAGUGCUCAUAAGUUCUGAGUAUUGGAUUCAACCCACGCUCAUUUGAAUCACUUCAUGGAUUUUAUCACGAGUGAUCAUGAGACGAUAAUAUCUUAUAUUCUUCAAACCUAGAGAUAUGAGUUGUUACUAUGAGUUGGUUGUACAUUGAUUGCACGAAAACGCAUUUGGUAACUCGGUGCUAUAAAACGUGCCUCUGUGUACGAUUCAACAAGUAGUAGAACAAGCCAUAUGAGUCGAAGUUUAUCCAUUCCUUUUACCUUCGGGAUAAAAGCGAUAUUUGUGGGCCCCUCGAUGAUUUAAUGAUGACACAUGUGUGUGCUUGGCCACGCCAGGACUGAUUUGAUUAGUUCAAUCACUCAGUCGUCAUAAAUCGGAAAUCGGGAAACAACAAAUGGACAGAGAGAAUGAUUAUAAUCCAUGUCUCAGUCCAUAUGAUAUCUACAAUGGAGGAAUAUAUGAGCCUUUAUUUAAUGGACAAGUCAUUGACAAAGGUCAGAGUUUGUUGACAAGGUCAGAGUUCGACAGAGGCUUUAAGAGUUACGAUUUCCAGUUGGUUUUUGAAGUCAUACUCAAUAAUAGUUUUAGACUUAUCCAAGUGGGAGACUGUUGGAUUAAUGUCUAAGUCCAUAACUAUAUUUGGUAUGUACUUGACCCGACCCGGCAUGGUCCAUUUGGGUUGCACUUCACCGACACAAUUUAUAUGGAUAAUCUUUUGAGAAUAGUAUGUUUAUGAUUAAUAUUAAUAUAUUAUAAGUUCUAAUAUAUUAAUAUGGAAUCAUAUUAUUUAAUUAGUAUUGAUCAAGAAUUAAUUUAUAAUUAAUUAAGUGAUCAAAAGGAACUAAUUAAAUAUGGACUCUUAUAUAUAUGGAAUGGGCCAAGUUCAUUUAGGUUGGGCUAAGUUAUCAUGGAUAGUCCAUGGAGUUUUAAACCAUGGAUCCUAUGAAAUGAAAUGUCAUGGGUAUUAGGGUUUACAUGGAUGUAACCCUAAUCCUCCAUACUAUAUAAAGAGGCAUUUAGCACAAAAAAUGGCACUAGUGUAUGAGGACAUAAGAGUGGGUUGUAUGUCAUCUAACUAGAACUUUGUAGUAUAGGUGCUUCAUAAUAUGCUAGUUAGGAUGAAACCUUGGAAUAUUUAAUAUUUGCAUGUAUAAUAGAGAAAACAUAGAUCCAAGGUUUAUAGGGUUGCAUGUACACCAUAGGAGUGUUAGAAUGCUCAAAACCCAACAAAUUUAAGUUCAACAGUAGUAGAUAAUUUCAUAUCUAAUAGAGGCUUCGUCUGAUUCCUUUCGUAUGUAUGACCCUGCCAAAAGGUAGAUAGGUUCUUGUGCAUUCCCAUAUUCUGUAAAAAUGUAUAUAAUCUUUAUUUGACAAAGUUUAUUCAAGAGGUGAUCAUUAAUGUUUAUUUUAAAGAUAUAACUUCAUUAUCCUCUUCAUGUCCACCUUUCCCACCAUCUAAAUGGAUUCAACAUCUUCAAUAGAAACCACAUCAUUUUCAGGGUGUCUGGUUAUUCCUCCCAAAUCUAAUAAAAAAUGUCAUGUUGGUGGUUUACAUACAUAUCAAAUCUCUUUUUUCUUUUAGCGGCUUCAAGAAACUCAUUAAAAUCGCACUCAUUCUAUAUAGAAUGCAAUCCCUAAGCCAAAAUUACUUCAGGUACAAAAUAAUACACAUAGUUUGGUAAAUUAUUCAAGAAAAUGAUGACAACAGAGAAGAUCAUGUUGUUCACAUUAAUGUCACGUAUAAAUGCUCUGGUUGCAUCAAAAUACAUCAACAGGGAGGGUGAGAAUGUCAUUAUAGUAUACAUCAAAGAUUGGUAUUGCCUCUUCUGACAUGGCUGAUUACAUUUCAGGAACAAAUGCGAUUAAUGGUGUUGGAAUAGUGUGGCGUAAGGCUUAGUUAAUGAACCACAAUUGCCCAUUAUCCUCUAAUUUAGGGUGUGAUAGAUGGCCUAUCGACAUUCCAUGUGGACACCACAUGUAUAAUAUAUUUCUCAUUAAAAAAACUAUAAAAUCAAAGAUGAUCGGUUAAACCUGACGUAGCCGGUAAAACGAAAUUAAUGUGAANUAUACCUUAAUAAGCAUUUACACUAAAAUGCUGAAUUUUAAGAAGUACUUACCAAAUUGCAAUACUUACAAUCACUUUAUUCAAUAUUUUGACCAAAUAACACCCUAUUCGUCCAACAAUCUCUCCAGUUUAUCGCCUAAUACCUUCAAAUCGGCCUUUGACCCAGCCCUUUAAUCCUUGAUUGAGUCAAAUCCUAAGAAUCACAAGAUCUCGCCUAAAAUAUUGUGAUUUUGUUAUGCCUUCCUUAUAUAUAGAGAGUCAAUACCACAAAGGUACAAACCAGUCAUCUCCAAACAAACUAUCAGUGUGUUGCCCAUUUGCUGUCACUAUUAGCUCUGGUAUAUAUAAACCACCGUAUCGCCACCACUCUUCCUCCUUCUCCGCCUCUAGAAACCACUGCACCACAACCAAUAAACCAUCGUCGCUGGUAUAUUUCUCUAUAAAACCGCACUCCACCGCUAGCUCCACUUAGUGCCACCACAUCUUAAACCCAAAUCAAUUCUCAUCAAACUUUCUCUCAUCGUAUUUUUAAGGUUUUGGUGAACUCCAUCACCACUAAUAAACCUAAACCGAUUAUGUGGUCACUAUGCUUUGAUCGGUAACCCAAAUAAUCCUUUGUAAAUUGCCAAAUAUGCCUCAUCUAAAUGCUCUCCAGUUCCAUGGCCAUCACGGAUAACCACACCAAUUACCCGAAUUCCAUAUUCUCACUAACCCACAUCUGAUCCAUCUGUUCCUUUUGAAUUAUGAAUACACACCCCAUUCUCUGCCUCACCCUAACCCUAACCCUAGACAUAACGACGGAGCCACCCACCUGACCAUUCAUGCCCGAGCUCAUUGUGUAGGUUGGCGCCGGUGGUCUCUUGUCCAACACUUCAAUCGGAGAAAAAACCAGGUAACUCCUUUUGCACUAACAACGAAACAAGGUUUAUUAUAAGCAUUUGUUUGAGUGGUUGCAACUGGGUACUUCGAUACAUGUUUUUGUGAUUCUGUUGUCCUUUUAUUUUGUUUUUAUAUCUUAGGAUGAUUCUAAUAAAUACUAUUCAUAUUGAUUUUUUUGAACCUAUAUGAGUGUUGGCAGUUUUGGAAAUAAGAGAGGUCUAUAAGGGCGAUUUGAUCAUAUGUUUGGCAACUUGUGGAAAGGGAUGGACAAUUGGUAACUAUUGGAAAAUGAUGGUUAUCGAAAAAGAAUUUUUGCUGGGUGAGUUGUUGUUUUUGGAUGCAAGGGUAUUUCUUGAAUAUUAUUUGUCAAUUAUGUGAAUCAUAAUCAUAUUAUUUAGAUGCAUUCCUAUUUUUGGAUCAAUUUCUAUUUCUUUGAACUUUAAAAUUCAUUUACUAUGUAAAGAUGUGAGUUGGUUGGGUUUUUAGGUGUGAGUGUACUAUAAUUGUGAUAAUUUAGUACUUUGAUAUGUGUUUGGUAAGAUAAACACAUAACAUUAGUUUUGUGACAAUAAAGAUGACUUGGUUUUUAAAGGCCGAGCUCCAGGUUAGACAUUAUUGGAGAAAGCAUUGGGAUUUUGAUAAGGUAUGUAUGCUAAUUAGGUUAUGGCAUUCUAAUUUUUUUUUAUUUCUAGAAAGAACAUUUAAAUUUGAUUUACUAACUUUGAAUUUAUAUAUUUUUGACUGAUCUCUUUGAGUAAUGUUUGGUAUGGUGUAGUUCUUUCAUGUGGUGCUAUUGAUUAUAUUUGGUAUAUGUUUUAGCCAGAUGGGUUUGGGGUAUCUCUUGAGUUUUAUACAAUAAAGUUCACAUUUAUUCCAAUAAUAAGUUUUUUUUUUGUUUUUCAGCUCCUACAAACAAUUAGGUUAUUUGUUGAUUUUAAUUUAUAUUAUAAAGUUCACAUUUAUUCCAAUAAUAAGAGUUUUUUUGUUAUUCAGCUCCAGGAGACAAUUGGAUUAUUUGUUGGUUUUUAUGGUAUUAUGUGAAAGGAGAGGAGAAAUAUGGUGUGGUGUGGUGUUGACUAAAGAAUUGUGGUUGUGGCUUCAACUUCAACCAACAGGUAAUAGCCUUGAUCAACUAACUCUUUCAUUUUGUGGUUGUAAAAAAAAACUCUUUUCAUUUAGCGGUUUCAUUUAGGUUUUAUUAUAUCAAAAUCUUAUACUCUUAUUUAUCUUACAUAAAUGUUUUAAACACCCUAUAUUCAAAGAGAUGUUUGCGAUUUAACAUCUAUAUAUUCGAGAAAAAAUAAAAGAAAUUUGUAAUAGGGGUGGCCAUACGCUUAAUAUUGCAUUAUGUUGCAUUAACACUAUUUUUUAUAACUUUAUUGUAGAUAUUUUCUUAUUAAAGUAUUGUACUUUGAAAGUACAAUGCUAUAAUUAGGUGAAUGUUUUCAAAUUAUACUGCUUCCAAACUACAAUGCUUUAAUAUGUUGCAAAUUUCAUUAUCUUUAACUAAAGUUUUUCUUAUUUAAAACUUUUUUUAAUUACUUGGCAUACCUGAGAUAUUAUUCAUAAGAAGAUAGUUCCCUUUUUAACCAAAUUUUUUUUAUAUAUUCUUUAUGAUUUUAACAGGUUGAAGUGACAAACGCUUGUCCUAAGAAACAAACAUAAACAUGACCGACAAGAACAUGAUUUGGGAACAAAUAGUAAUUGUCAAUCUAAUGAUGUUAUUUGUAAGAAAAUCUUAAAGAUUAUGAAGAUUUUUAUAAGAGUUACCUACUACUAUAAUUUGAAUAUGAUAUCAAGGUCAUUUUAUGAAAAAAAUUGUAUAAUUACCAAUAUAGUCAGUGAUGCAUGAAACUAAUUGUUUAAAUUCAAUGAUAUAUAUAUUCAUGAUACCGACUUUAAGUUUUAACUUUAUUAUAAAAAUAAAUUUUGAUUAUUAUGUGGUUGUUUGGGUUGCUUAAUCUCUAUACUAAUAAAAGAGUAGUCUUUUUGCCAAGUGUCAUAAUAUUAGAACUCCUAAUUAAUAUGAUCCCACUUGUCAUUCUAUUAAUUCUCUAUUUUAAAUUCAUUAAACCUCCUAAUUAAUGUGAUGUUAUUUGUCAAUCUAUUUAUUCUUUAUUUUAAAUUAAAUUUUAAAUUUUAUAAUAUUGUUUUCAUUAGUCCACAAAUAAAAAGAGUCUAAUAUAUAUGAUAAAUUAAUUCCACAUAUUUAUUUGAAUCAAUAAUUAUAAUUUUACAUAACUAAUAAAAAAAUCUCUUAAUUAAUAAUGUAUUUAAAAUUUUAUAUAAAAUAAUUGAUUAAUAAUUUUGAAUUUUUUACUAUGAAUAUUUAAUUAAUUUUGUAACCGUGGUUUCCACGGGUUAUAAACUAGUUAUACUAAUAGUCAUAAUAGUCAAAUCAAAACGGAGUUAAUUAUGUCUUUGGAUAAGUUAUAAAACUUCUUAUUACCUUUUGUGCUAUUAAAAUGUAUUAAUAUAAAAAAGACAAAACUGCAAAUUUGGUCCUUGUGGUUUGGCAAAACCUUUGGAUGGGGUCCAAAAAGUUUCCAGCUUGCACCAAAGGUCCAAAAUCAAGGUUUUCAUGGGUUUUUAGUCCAUUCCGUCAUUGACCGUUUGUUUGGGGCCGUUAGUGCCUUCACGUGCCCUCCAUGUGAGGGCAUUUUGGUCAUUUUACGUACUUAUUUUAAAUAAUAUCAUAUUUCUCCUUUAUAUACAUACUCAUACGCAAUCCUCUUCUUCUUCUUCAUUUUUAUUUACAGAGAAGCAACAAAAGGGCUUCUUCUUCGUCUCUCAAAGGAUUCUUCUUCUUCGUGUCUCGUCUACUUCUACUGCUACGAGAUUCAAAAAUGGUGCUCUGCUUCUGUGGGAACGUUGCUGUUGUGCGAACCUCAUGGACUUCACGAAACCCUGGUCGUCGUUUCUAUGCAUGCCCUAAAAUGGUAAGCAAACUCAUAUUAGGUUAUGAUAUUUCGGUAGUUAUGCAAUAACUCUUCUACUUUAAUGUAUUCUUGUAGGGAUCCAGAUGUGGAUUUUUGGGGUGGUUCGAUCCCCCUACGUGUCAAAGAUCAACUGUUAUCAUACCAGGACUGUUGAGAACAAUGAAUAGGUAUGAGGUUGAAGUGGGCCAGCUGAAGAUGUGUUUGCUUGUCUCGUGGGUUUUGUUUCUGUUGUUUGUGCUGUUUUGGAAAUAGGAAUUAGAGGUUAGGACUUUUUUGUNACCUGAAAAAUGACUUCUAGCCCAAUGAUGUGGAGGGAUUUUCAAGAGCCACUGAUAUGCUUCUAUGUCAUAAUUCCUUAGCUCUACCAUUACAGCUUCAAACUCUGGUAUGGUGGUGGCUGUAGCACACCUCCAAAAAUACUCCUUGUAUUCUGUAGUCUUAAAUCUGAUCCUCAUGUUCUGGUAUAUGUGUCUAAUACAGAACCUGUGUUCUGCAUUAGGGAACAAUUGUUCUAUGGCUGGUAGAAGACCCUGUUGUCACCAAAACAAAAUAAGAAAUUAGUCUGUAAUGCAACUAGUAUGCAAUAUUAAAUGUAACUAUAGUACCUUCUGUCUAUCACUGAUAAAGGUGAAGUUGGAAUUUGAAUACAAGUCAAGAUCUUCUGCAAGACACUGAAGAAACCAUUUCCAACUUGAAGUGUUUUCACUUUCAACAACAGCAUAUGCCAAUGGGUAGGUUCCAUUGUUGGAAUCAACACCAACUGCACUUAGUAUUUGACCUGGGAAAGGUCCCUUCAUGAAGGCUCCAUCUAAGCCUAAAAAUUCUCUCAAACCUGCCUUAAAACCUUUCUUCAAAGGACCUAAACACACGUAUAUCCUUCUGAAUUGCCUGGUUGGGGAUGAAACCACAGGUUCUGAAACCACAUCAAUCUUUACAGUUGUACCUUCAUUUGUCUUUUGUAGCUCUAGUACAUAGUCUCUCAAAGCUGCAUAUUGCUUUACGUAAUCCCCUGCAACAUUUUUGGUGGCUAAUGCUCUUGCCCUAAAUGCUUUCUCUUCUGAAAUACUAACUCCAUAAGUUGAUUGGAGUUGCUCUUGUAGGGCACGAACAGGCAGUCCAGGAUUAGCUUCAAUCUGAUCCAUAAUACGUUUGGAAAGAAAUGUUGCUGUGCAAGAUCUGAUUUUUCGUGUUUGGAGGCAGAUGUGUUUCUGAUUAUAGGUCUUAAUAAACCAAUAGUCCUGUUCACUUGACCUAGAUGCAUGAAGUUUCCAUGUGCAUUUAACUUUAUCUGAGUUUACAUCUUUACCCUUUACCUUUUUCCCAGAGGUAGGUCCACCUACCCCACUUGCAUUUAAAACUACAGUUCCAUCACAAACAGCUGUCAAUCUACUCUUGUCGUUUUUUGUGAAUGAGAUAUUCCUCCUUGUCUCUAAAGCAUGCAGGUCAAUUUUGUCUUUCAAUUCUUUCUUGGCUUUAUAUUUCUGCCCAAUAUGAAAAGCUACCUUGUGCACCUCACCAGCAGAACAUAAGGUUUGUUUCCCCAGCUCUUUGAUCAUUUCUCUUCUUUUCCUGUUGUCCCCUGAGUCCUCACUUAAUGAAUCCCACUCGUCAUUGUCAAUUACCUCCAAAUCAUCUUCUUCAUCACUAUCUUCAUUUCUUUGACCACCCAUUCUUUGACAUCCAUUGAACUCUGCUUCUGUAUCAAUAUUUAGAUUGAAAUCCUCCAUGUCAACGUCAACAUCUUCAAUUAUGUUGUCCUCAUCAAUCAUAAAGUCACUAUCUUCAUCUUCACUGUUUUGAUUCUCAAAAUCAAUGUCAUCAGGCUCCUCUUGUCUCCACUCAUCAUUGAAAGGAAUGUUAUCUUGGCCUUCAAACCCAUUAAAUGGGAUGCUAUCUUGGUCUUCAAAAGGUUGAAAGUUUGUCAUUAACUCAUCAUCUAUGUUGAUGUUAGUUGAAAAUUCAUUGACUCCUUGAGGAUCAUUAUCCAUGACAACUCUAUACCCCUCAUCUGCAAAUCCUUCUACACCCUCACCAUUGGAUUUGUUCACAUCAAGUUCUUCAUUCACAUCAAUCUCUUUGUUUAACUCUUUUUCUGCAUCAACUACAACAAAUUCAUCUACAAAUCCUUCUACACCCUUACCCUUAUCAACUUCACCACUUGCCAUUGUUUUUUCAGCACCUUCCCAAUCCAAGUUAAGCUUUGUACUACAAGACGAUGCCCCUUUACUAUGUUUCCAACCUUUAGACCUACUAAAUUCAGGUGUUGCUGAUUUGUAUAAGGUUAAUGCUAACCCUAAAUCACCCUCACCAACAUCAAUUUGGAUUGGAGUUACCACUUCAUGAGCAACUACAGGUGAUGAGGGUCUAAUGGAAUCCUGCUUCUCCAUGUCUUCUAUUAUAACCCUUCUUGGACCAGUUGGGGACAUAAAAUAUGUAAGCAAGUUCGUUUGACCAUGCUCUGUGUACACUUUAAUCAUUUUGUUAUUAUGGGUAACAUACCGUGAGAGAUUACGCACAUCAUCAUCGUUACCUAAUGCUCGGAGUCCAAAGUCAAAUCCUUCAUUAGGCAAACGGAAAUGGUAAUACAUGAUUUCAGUACCAUCAUACCCUAAUUCUCUCAUCAUCAAGUCUAGUUCAUGAACAGAAAAUUCAUCAAUGUCGACAACAUCAAAGUACCUUACUUGGCCGUUAAUAUACCUGAUAUUUGGAAACUUUGUGAAACUCCCUCCGUGAUGAAGUUCAAUAGAGAAUAUGUUGGGGUAACCAGCUUCAAAACAGAAAGAGACGAUUGUUAGUUACAGUUUUUCAAAUUUUGAAGCUUGAUCAUAAAAUACAGAGUUUUUCUAAGUUUGAAUCUUACCAUAAACUUCUUGAACGUUGACAAUCUCUCCAACAUUUCUAAGUCCCCACAUUUUCAAAAGCAGGAACACAAUCCAAUUUUCAGACGAUCGUUAGGGUUUUUGCGUUUGAAUCAAGAGGUAUGAGUAGAAGACGAAGGAGUGUACAGUCUGCAAUCUAAUUAAUUGAAGUGGCGGCAACGGAGGCUAGGACCUAAAAUGACCAAAAUGCCCUCACAUGGAGGGCACGUGAAGGCACUAACGGCCCCAAACAAACGGUCAAUGACGGAAUGGACUAAAAACCCAUGAAAAUCUUGAUUUUGGACCUUUGGUGCAAGCUGGAAACUUUUUGGACCCCAUCCAAAGGUUUUGCCAAACCACAAGGACCAAAUUUGCAGUUUUGUCUAUAAAAAAUGACAUUUUUGUUUUGACAAAGUUUAUUUACAAAUAAAUAUAAAAUGACAAAAAAGACAAUGUAAAAUGUCAAAUUUUAAUGCCUCAGUGGUCGUGAAAAAAGAAAAUCUAGCUCCUAUUGAUAUAGUUUAUGAUGAGUUUUUGAGUUAUAAUAACGUUAAACAGUCAUUGAUUUAGGAAAAAAAUAAGCGUAUUGAAAUGUGAUAUCUAGAGUGUCACAAUUCAUCUAUCAUGACAACACUAACACCUUUGUAUAUAUAUUGUCAUUUUUUCCAAACUAGAAGACCUUGUAAUUUCAAGAUUCCAAUGUUUAUCUAAAAUAAUUUUGAUGAUACAAACUACUACCAUACAAAAUAAAUAACAGUAAAAUGUUAUACAAAUACAUCCAAUUAGUGACCGCGCUAUAAACUUUAUUUCAUCUUAUAAUAUCAAACAAUUGUGACUGGAAACUUGAGAGGAAAAACCGAUAAACAAAAGUUUAACAAUAAUAAUAAUAUAUAAAAAUAUGUGUUAACCCAUUAGUAUUAUAUAAACUGAAACUAUAGUCCAGAAGACAUAAAAUUGGCCAAUAACAAUAUGUAUGUAAGUGAUGUGUUCUUUGACAUAUAAAAUGUUUUUGAACGAAAAAAUAUUUGUUAUCGUUUCUUAUAUGAUAAUGUGUAUUUGACACUUAAUGGUAAAUAAUAUUUAACUAUAAAGGAUACCUACUAAAAAUAUGACUUAUAAAAUAGAGUGUAAGGAAUCUCAACUUUUUAUUUUUAAUUCUCAUUAAUUUUAUUUAUCCUAGCAUUACUCUUAUUGGUAAUUGUUAGAUUUAGUAAACUAUUUGCCCAAACGAAAUAAACCAUUUCCAUAAAUUAAUUUUUAAAAAACUAUCCGAACCCGUCGCUUGUUGCGGAGAAAACGACUAAUANNNNNNNNNNNNNNNNNNNNNNNNNNNNNNNNNNNNNNNNNNNNNNNNNNNNNNNNNNNNNNNNNNNNNNNNNNNNNUAUAUAUAUAUAUAUAUAAAUAAAGAAUUUAGUAAAAUUAAAUGAUUAUUUAAUUAAAAAAGAUAGAUAUUAAAUGAUUUCUAUAAUUGUAUGUAUACUAAAUGAUAUCUAUAAUUAUAAUUCUAUUUUUAUGGAAACUAAUUAAAUUUGCCAUUAAUGUCAGUAAUAACAUUAUUUCAGAAUGAAUUCGUAUCUAGGUUUUUUUAUAUGGGUUAAUUUUUUUUUAGGACUCACUCAUUUAAAAUACAAUAAAGUUGCAUGGAAUAUAAAGAAUAAGAGUGUAUUAUACUAGAAUACACUUAAUCUGUUAGAAUACACUCUCAUUCUUCUAGAUACGAAUUCAUUCUGAAAGAAUAUUAUUGUUGAUAUUAUUACCGAAUUUAAUUAGUUUCCAUAAAAAAUAAAUUAUAAGUAUGGAUAUCAUUUCAUAUACAUAUAUUUUUUACUAAAUUCUUAUUGGUGUAUUACAGCACACAAUAGAUUUGAGAACCUACUUUUCUCUCUCUCUCUCUCUCUCUCUCUCUCUCUCUAUAUAUAUAUAGGUAAAGGUUCAAAUGAGAAUCAAAAAAUAAUAAAAACUCUAAGAACCUCUAAUUUUAGCUUAUAAAGGGCAUUUUGUCACAAACACAUUAUUUCAUCUAAACUUUAAAAUACCAGAUCAAAACAUCAGAUCUGGAAAAGCUCAUUCUCCCUCUCUCUCACCAAACAUCUCUUCCUCUCUCUCCUACCUCCGGUAACUUUCCACCACCACCUGCUACCUCCGGUGCCGCCACUAACCACUGUCACCACCUACUUUCGACGGAAGAAACAUCUACCACAGCAACCCAACCACUCUUAUGACGUUGCUUCGGUUACAUAUCUCCAUCCGCCUUCUUUUUUCUCAAUCUCCUUGAAACACCACCAAAAUUGUUCAGAUCUGGUGCACCACCACCUCCACCUACCAUUGAUACAUGUCUUCGACCUCCAAAAGCUUUCGUUUUCAUCAGAUUUGUGUUGAUUCUUUAUAGAUCUAUGAUCUCCAGCUGUACAUCUAUGAUCUUUGACGACGUAUCUCUGAUUUUCACUUAGAAAUCUAUGAUUUACACCUCCAGAUCUGUUAUGUGUCGCCUCCUUCCCCUCUAUUACUCGUUUUCAUCUCUGUCUCUCUUAUUUUUCUAAUUGCAUUUGUUGUAGAUCUCUAUUAUAUUUUGGUUUUCUUUUUUUUUUUUUUUUUUAUAUUAAUGUGUGAAUUUGAUAUUUUAAUCUCUCAUUUGUCAUAUAUAAUUUUGUUAAUCUUAGUUUUAACUGCUAUUAACUUGUGAAUGUAUAAUUUUUUUGAAUUAAACUUUAAACUUAUUAUACUAGUUUGUGAAUUUUAUAUAUUAAAUUGUGUAUUAAUUGUAAUAAGUGUUUUAAGUUGAUAAUAUGGAUGUGAAUACUACUUUUUGUGUAUUAAAAUGUGAAUUUAGUCUAAUAAGCUGUCAUUUUUGUGUUUUAAAUUGUGAAUUGAUUACAUUAAACUUUGAAUUUUCUUUUUAAACUAUGAAUUGACUAUAUUAAGCUGUGAAUUUUCUGUUUGAACUAUAAAUUGACUAGAUUAAGUUGUGAAUUAUGUGUAUGAAACUAUGAAGUUACUUGUAUUAAGCUAUGAAUUUUGUGUAUAAACUUUGUAUUGACUAUAUAAAGAGUGUUAAUCUGAAAAUAUGGUUAUGGAUGCAUACUUUUUGUGUAUUAAACUUUGAAUUUUGUGUAUUAAACUAUGACUUUUGUGUUUUAAAUUGUGAAUUGACUGCAUUAAACUGUAUAUUUUCUUUAUAGACUAUGAAUUGACUAUAUUAAGCUGUAAAUUUUGUGUAUUAAAUUAUGAGUUGAUUGUAUAAAGCUGUGAAUGAAUUGACAUUAAGUUGUGAUUAUUUUAUAAUUGUUUUGUUUGCUUUUGAAAUAAUGUAAAUUUUAUUCACGACUUAAUAUAUUAAAUUUACAAUUUAAAAUAUGAAUGAUUUAUGUAUAAUUUUUUUUGUUAUUUUUUUUUUCUGAAUAUAUUUAUUUUUUUGUGUUGUAUAAGUAUAUAAGAAUACAUUAGUUUUAAUAAUAAUUUUGCAUUAAAUUCAAAAUGAGUGUAAUAAAUAGUUUUAUUAGACUGUGAAUGCAGUAUUUAUGUUAUUAAUGCAUGACUUUGUUUACAGAUCUAAUUUAGAAGAAAAUAAUGGUUGCGAUGCUGGUAUAGGUGGUUGGUGGCAGUAUGUGGUGGUGGUAGUAGGGUUUGAAAAUUUGAUUUCUUUAAGUUUGUGAAUUAGUAUAAAAUGGUUUGUAUUAAAUUGUGAAUUUUGUGAAUUAAAUUACGAAUGGACUGUAUAAACUUGUAACUUAUAUAAGUUUUGUGUUCAAAUAUGAAAGCAUAUAAGAAUGAAAAUAUUAUACUGCAAAAUUACAAUUUUGCCCUUUUUGUAUCGAAAAGAAAAAAAAAAGGAUUUUCAUAUGUUUAACAAUAAUAUCAUGUAAAUAUUUAUUAAUUAAUGGGGUUCUUAGGUUCUUAAUCUUUUAUGGUUGUCAUUUGAACCAUUAUAUAUAUAUAUAUAUAUAUAUNNNNNNNNNNNNNNNNNNNNNNNNNNNNNNNNNNNNNNNUAUAUAUAUAUAUAUAUAUAUAUAUUACCUUUUAGGUUGUUUUUCCACUUAUAAACUACCCCACUUUUCUUCUAGAAUUUGGAUUAUUCAUUUUGUCCGAAUUCAAACCCCCCCUUUAAAAUCAAAUUUUUGUGUAGUCUGCAAACAAGAAAACAUACACCAGUAAAAAUUAUUCCUCAUUCAUACGUGUACACAUAACAGGCAAUACGAACAUCAAUCCGUACAAUGUCCAAUACGCACUAGUCGUGGUACUAAGCCAUGUAACAGUCCAAUUGCGUGUUAUUCGAACACAUAAUCAUAAUAUUUAAACACAACAUUAUUCAAACAUACAUAUCACCAUCAUUAUGACAUGAACAUUGCACUUGCAACCACACACAUGAAAGCACACCAAGUUUCUAGUGAACUCCACACCACCACAUAUAUAUCCUGCACACAUGAAAAUCAUCAUUAUUAGAUCAUAUCAUUGAUACUUCCAGAUGCUAACCUUAAAGUUGUUUAAACAACUCAAUUUGUCCAACACACUAUCAUGACUCAUGAACAUGCCUUUUUUUUUUUUUUUUUUUUAAAUCAAUCAUGGCCGGUGGUGGCCCAUCUAAUAGUCAUACAUGUUACUCGUUAUUACUUAUUAGCCACUACUUCUUAUCUUCAACAGUUUGUGUUGAGGAACUUACAGAAAGGGGCAGUUGUCCACCUCUGGUUAUCACCUUUAGUCCACUCCCAACAAAGAAUUUUGGUGCCAUCAUGAAUACCAGUGUCACCGAUAGAUGCAUCAACAUUAAGCUUAAUCUUGUUCACCAUUCUUACUGCGUGAAAACCAUCACCCAAAUCCUUGCUUUGUGUCCAAAGAACAGAUUCGUCAAGCUUAUCUGGGUUGUAUUCCGUUAGCUGAACCUAUAGAAGUAUCCGUUGAUGUUUCACAAAAAGAACUUUCGAGUAAACAAAUAUUUGCAUAUAGGAAUCUAAAAGUAUUCAUAAACAAUAGCUGAAAUCCUAAGAAUGAACUGAAAAACUUUCGAGUUCAGAGUCAGAUUGAAACAUCUAAUGAUUGUAAAUGACGACAUACCGGUUUAGCAGCACCGGUAGCGUGCUUCAAUGCCUGUCCCGUAGCUUUAUUGACCAGAGCAAAAGAGGGAAAACCCUCUUCGUCUUUGACUCUCGUGCUAAACUUCUCUUCCUUUAUCCAAUGCUGUGUGAAAAGGUGAAAAAAAAGUCAACUAAAUAGAAGCAUGUGAGUUUAUUCGAAUUCGGAAAAAGAGGGAAUCAGAGGGUACCUGGUGAUGAUCGGAGGGGUUGGUGGGUGCGAGAACGACUUCUCCAUUACGGAUGGUGAGUGAGUAAUUAGUCUUGAUCUUGCUGUAAAACCUAACAGUGGGUUUAUUGUCGGUGUACUUGGGGGUUUGGUGGGUGGUCUGGUGAGAGACAUGGUGAACUAUGGCUGCAGGUUGCGGUGGUGGUGGUGAUGGUUGGUGAUGGGAGGUAACAUGGUGGGAAGGUUGUGGUGGUGGUGGUGAUGGUUGGUGGUGGGCGGGAGCAUGGUGUUGCGGUGGUGGUGGUGAUGGCUGGUGGUGGGUGGGAAGAUGGUGGGCAGGUUGCGGUGGUGGUGGAGUUGGUUGGUAGGCAUUGUGGUGGUGUCGAGGAUCCAUUUUUUUCUAGAUUUAAUUGGGGUGUGUGUUGGAAGUUAAAUAAGAAAAGAGAUGAGGAGGGUAGUUAGAA